CAACAGUUUUUGACUCGGUCCCCGCCUUUAAUCAAGACUCUAUGGUUAUCUAAAUAAACUGAUUUUAUGGCUUCCCCUAUGUAUCAAAUCCUCUCUUCCUUCUUUUUCUGAUUCUCACGCUGUUUUCAGUUUAAAUUUUUGCUCCCCCUUCUCUCAACCAUCUCUCCUUAUCUCUAAGCCUAAUUAGCUGCCAGGCACACCAGCUCCACCAUCUCACACCAUACCAGGAGCACACACCUCGAACAAGUCAAGACCAUCAUACCAUCGCUAUUAGACCCACUUGAAACUCAACCCCCCUCUUUCUCUGGCGUUCUCUCUCUCUCUCUAUAUAUAUAUAUAUAUAUAUAUAUAUAUAUAUAUAUAUAUUUGAAUACUGAUGAUUGAAGGUUUCCAACGAUUUGAAGUCAAAUAGGUAAUCUUUAUUUCCUCCCUUUCAAUUCCAACACUCUGGGCAUAUUUCUUCAUUUUUUGUGAAAUAGUGUGUUUGUGUGUGUGUGUGUGUGUUUAUUCAUGUACAUAUGUGUAUGUAUUUGUAUGUGUAUCUGUCUAAUUUUCUAUGUAUGUAUUUUUCUAAAAUAUAGGUGGAGAUCCGAUUGAUUUUGAUUGUUUGGAAACUAGGGCUUGGUUCACUAAUUACCAGCAGUUCUAGAAGUGAAUAUGGUUCCAUUGUAGGGUUUCUAACAAGUGAGUUUUUUUUUUUUCGUUUUUAUAUCCUUUUAAGAACUUGAUGUUGUCCAUUUCUAUAAAUCUAAUCUUAGGAUUUCAGGGUCCCAUUUGUAGCUUACAAAGCUUGGCAUUGGAGCUAUUCAUUGUGCGAUACUACAUUUUAGCUGUUAAAUCUUCUCUGGGACAGAAGAAAGUAAGCAUUUCUUUAUUUUAUUUCAGCUUAUGUGGAAGGUUGCGUUUCUAUGUAGUAAUGUACAUAGGUGGAGGUUAGAUUUCUCAUAUGUGACUUUCCAAACAAUAAACAAACAAUCAAUCAGAGACUAAUUUUGAUUCGACUGCCUCUUCACUAAUAUGUACUCACCAUCGCUUUCGUCUGCCUUCACCAUCCAUAUCCGCCAUUCACCACCCUAAACCUUGCCCGAUACAUCCGAACAUCGCCUCCUAUUUUCUGAUUUCUUUCUUCGUACGCCAAAUAUGUCCAAUUUAGGUUUGCUUCUGAUUUCUUUUUCUAUAAAAGUAACUUUAUUUUCUGCAAAAAAAUUGAUUUCCUGAUUUUUUUGCUUUUGAUAUUGAUUAUAAAAUUUGAAUUCUGCAAAAUCGAUUUCAUUUUCUAAAUUUCUGAAUUCUACAAAAUGGAGAUAUGAUCAUAGUUUUUCCCUGUGUGUGCUGUGUGCUAGGGGCUAACAUGAGGAUAUUCGAUCUAUACUAGGUCAUAUUUUUUGAUUUUUUUUCUAGAACAAAAAGACUAGAAGAACAAACCUACAACUCGAUACACCCCUCUAUCUCAAUUAGAUAUGACUAUUUCAUGUGAAUGUGGGACCCAUGUGUUCAAACAUACUCAACAUGAAGGUUUGAUGCUAAUUAUGAUUCAAUUUUAUGCAUUUUAAAUAUCUCUUAAGAAUGUAAGUUUUGGUUGUAACUGUUUCUAAUGCAGAUUUCAAGGUUUCAAGUGUGGGAUCUUCUCUUCCUCCACUGGAUUCUUGAUGAUAUUAAUGUUAAAGCAAUAGGGGGGAAAGAUACAUAUAGAGUGUAAGUUUUGAAAAUUUUUGAUUCAAUAAUAAUGCUUCUUUUGACAUUUUGGGGCUAUUAACUGUUCAGUUUUAUGUAGAUUAUUAGGUAGAACAAAAGAGAUAGAUAUGCAAAAGAUGUUGAUUAUGAGUAAUGAAAGAGAGUAAUAUGUAAAAGAUUUUGGUGCUAUUAACUGUUCAAUUUUAUAUACACAUACACUGUUUAGUUAGGGACUGGACAUGACGUAAGGGGUAUUCAUAUGUUUUAUAGCAGCUUUCAACUAUAGACCCAACAAUAAACCCACAAAGAUGUAGGGUUAAAGUGGUUCAAACUCCAAACCAAACAUGCCAAAAGAAUUAGGCAGUAGUAGCAAGGAGAUAAAUGCUUGAAUAAUGUAUAUACAUCAUCCAUAAUGCAACUAAAACCAAACCAUUAAGGGUAGAAUGGUCAAAACAAGCAAAAUUCUCCCACCAGCCAAUCUUGAAUAAAAAAGCACCAUGUCAUGUAUAAACAUAAGAAAUCUAGAUGAAUGCACCAAACAUCGCCACCUGAAAAAGCCAUGCAAGGGUAAAAUGUCAUAGUAUUGGAAAAAGCUUCAGCCAAAUCAACUCCACAUCAGGAACAAUCAAAUAUAGGUAAUCUGGUCUAAGAGUCCAAAAUCAAUUAUAUAAGCCAAUAGUUGUAUUUACUCUUCUGUUGAAUUUUGCAUAACCAUAUUUAUGAAUAUUGUAUAAAUGCAGUUAAUUCCCCACAUUUACUCAUUUUUUGCAUUUACUCUUCUGUUAUGUUCUUUAAUCUUACAGCUGAAGUGGUAGCAUGUUGCAUAUGGGCUUGAUCUGUUAUCAAAGAAGUUACUAUAUAGGAAACAAAAUAGACAUACAGCCAUAGUCAUAAGUAUACUUUUGUUAUGAUCCUUAUUACUUUUAUAUUUUACAUUGUUGUACACGUUUCAAAUCUUUAAUAUGUUUUUUUGUUUUCCGUUGUUUCAUCAAACUAUUUGGCCUUGGGUUACUACAUGUAUCUUGAAUCCUCAUAGUCAGGAGUCAAAUUCAUUCUAAUAUUUACGUAUAUGUUUUACAAUCAAUUGAUUUAUUUAAUCUAAUAUUUUAUACUUUAUGCACUCAAAUGGUUAAAUAUAUAACAAAAUUAAUACACAUAACUUUUUAGUUAGAUUCAACGUCAAACUUUAAAUUUAUUUUUCUAUUAAUGAAACUAAAAUAACAAGUUUUUUUGAUAAAAUGGCAUCGUGUCAUUGUUGGAACCUAAAAGUGAACCUCUAGCAAUCCUACCUACUUAUUACGAAGUGUGCAUGUUCCAAAGUGGGGUGUGGUCCGGAACACGGUCCGGACCAGGAAAGAAGACGAAGUGAAGACUGAAGGCAUUCUGGAAUGACUCUCAUGUCCGAAAUGAAUGUUGAUCCGGAAGAACAUUAAUUUGUCUUAGAGUAUUUAUUAUAUUUGUACUUGUAUUGAUGUAACGUUUCAUAGGAUUUAGUCUUUUAUCUUAUUUUGACAAUCGGAAUGUCAAAAAAUAUUUCUUUUGUCCGGUCCUAUGUAAACAUUCUAGUUAAUUCGCUGUAACCUUUACUCCUACUUAAAGAGAAUUCAAUACAAGUCAACUACUGAUCUUUCACUCAAAUCUUGGCUCUUUACUAAGUUAUUUCAUACAUUCUUCUUGUUCUUCAUUUAUUAACUUUACUUUGAUCAUUUACUCUUAUUCUUCAUUUAAUGACUUAAUCAUUUGUUGAAUACAUUAUCUAAGAUUUGACUGGUCUUUCCAGACUUGACUUGCAUUCAUUAGUAAGCAGACAUUGAUCUUAAGCAUUUACUCAAGGUUUGAGUUUUCAAACCUUGUCCCUGCGCAUCGAUCUUGUUCUCACAAUUGGUAUCAGAUCUUGAGUAGUUUUCCUUCAAAUCCAUAAGAUCAGAUUAUAGUUGGUUUGAAAUUACCUUGGUAUUUCAACCAUUUCUGUGUUUAGGAUAAAAGUUCUUCUAUAUACCACUAUAGCUUGAAGAUAUCUUAACUUCAUUGGCUGCUUCUAAUCCUCAACAAAUGAUUUCAAUGCAAAUCGCAAAUAGUGUGGGUGGCCCUACACGUGCCCCAUUACUAGCUGUGGAAGAAUAUGAUCAUUAGAAAGUUAGAAUGGAAAGGUUUUUACUGGCCAAAGAUUAAGGUGAAGAAAUCUGGAGAUCCGUCACAAAUGGUCCACAUGUUCCUGUCAGAACUGUUGUAAGGGAUGCAGCUGCUCAGCUCAUGUGUGAAGAUGAAACUCGCCCAGCUCCUCUAAAUGCAGAUGAUAUCGAGAAGCUUCAUGCUGAUCAAGUUUCUUUCUCUGAAAUGGUGUUUGGUGUUCCACCGUCACUCAUUGAACACAUCAAGCUUUGCAAAUCAGCCAAAGAGAUUUGGGACACUCUUCAGGAUCUGAUUGAAGGUUCAGAAAACAUGAAAGACAAGCGCCUCACCUCAGUUGUCAACGACUUUGACACCUUCACCACCACUCCUAGUGAAUUAGUGGCCUCUGCCUCCAACCAUUAUCGUAUUGUGGUGAAUAACAUGACUGCUCAUGGGAUUGUCCGAACUCCCGUGGAGUACAAUCUCAAAUUCAUAAACAGUCUUGGCAAAGGAUAAGGAAAUGAAAAAUCUUGUCUUCAAAGCAAUGGUUCUUUGAAAAAGUUGAAGCUUUAUCAACUUUUUGAUGAACUUCAAGGACAUGAGUCAAAUGUUGCUCAAACCAUAAGGGAACUCUCUAGAGGUCCUUUUUCCCUUGUCAGCUCUUUUGAAUCAACUAUUCCGAACUCAUCUACUUCGGAUCCUUUCAAACCCAUGUUCCAUCUAUUCAAACAUAUGCACCUACCUUAUCUCCACAAAGUUAUCCUAUUGAUGAUUCCAAAGCCAAGGACUCUGAACUCCGUUAUCAGCAGGAGUUUGCUUUACUCUAAAUGAAGUACAAACGUCCUUUCAAUUCCUCCUACAAACCAUACCAAAAUUGAUUCCAUGCUCCUUACCAGAACAAUCCUCAACCAUAUUCAGCUCCGAAACCUAAACACUCUUCAGAAAAUCCUCCUGCAUACAAACCAAACUCUACUUCAGAACCCUCUCAGAGCUCCAAAUCAGACAAACCAAAAAUUGUGUGUUAUAAGUGUGGACAUGCAAACCAUUUUGCUAAAGAUUGUCUGGCUGAUGCUCCGCAGAAACUAAAAAUAAGGAUUAUGCAUACUACGUCCAAAAGACCUAAGAGAUGGUUGAAAGAGAAAAAGCCUUUGUUAAAACGGUUUCAAGAGAUGUUGAAGGAUAUUGGUCAUCCGGGGAUGAUGAUGACAUGGUAACUGGAAGAAACAUGUUUCUGAUGGCAAGACAAACCAUUGAAUAUGACGAAGGGUAUUGGUCUUCAGGAUCAGAAGAUGAAGAUGAUGUUGUUGAACCUCACUAUUGCUACAUGGAAACCAAUGAUCCACCAAGACGAAGCAUUGUUCAGCAGGUAAAAUCUAUGAUCUCUGAUAAUAACUUUGACUUGUCUCUCUGUGAACCUUAUCUGACCCAAAUUCAAAUAGAUAUGAACACCAUCUAUAAAGCCUAUGAGUCUGCCAUAGACGCAAGUGAGAAGAAGGAGUGUGAGUUAAAUCGUCUUAGGUUACGUUUCGAGGAUAAAAAGUUGAAAAUCGAGUCUUUAGAGCGUGAACUUUUAAUGUUAAGUGAUGAAUGUAUCAUUUUUAAAGAUAAAUGUGAAAUCACCUAUUCCGAACGAUAUAUUUGAUUUCUGAUAAUAAACAUCUAAAUGCCAAGAUAGAUGCUUUGCAUAAUUCUGUAUACAUGCUUGAAGCAGACCUUCGGAUGACUCAUAAUUUUCAUCACCCAUGGUCUAAAGUACCUGGUCUCGGAAGCGGGUUUCUGAAACCAAUUGCUAGUCCCCUGAAGGAGUUACAAAAUUUCACAUUCAUGGGAGAAGUUUCGAAUAUUAAACAUUCAGACACCCACGUUUCUCCCUUGUCACCACUUUUAGAGACUUCAAACCAUUUCAAGUCAUUAAUUCCUGAGUUUAAACCAAUUGUUGUCAAGUGUCCUGAUUUCACGCCACUUCCGCCUCUGACUAACAUGGACUUGAAUCAGACCACAAAAUUUGAUUAUAGUCUUCCAAAUUGCGUAGAUUAUGUUCCUAUGAGUAAUCACACAAACAACUGUGUAGCUGAAGAAAUUCCUUCCUUGGCAACUGAAGCGGACACCUCUGAGUUUGUAUAGGCAUCCUUAGAUGAUAAAGUUGAAAAUCAAGUUGUGUCUCCUCUGAUUCUUGCGAAUCGGAUUCCUUAGUGGUCUCAAAAACUAAGUUGGUUUCCAUUACUCCUAAAUUUAGCGAUGCAUCCGCAGGGCAACCCUCAAAAUCCUUACCUCCCACUAAAAGAAAACCAAUGUUGAAUAGGAAGGAUGUUGUAGAUCCCAAAGUAGAAGCUCAAAAUGCACAUAAGAAAGUAGUCAAAACUAGACUAAAUUCCACGUUCAUUGAAAACUCCAAACCAAGUGCGUCUUGGAAUUCACAUGCAUUACCUCACUGUCAAAACUCUUUUCCUCCCACUAAGAUUCUCAAAAGACCUUCUGAAUCUCCCAGUCGCAUAGAACCCAAGAAAGUAGACGAUUCUACUUGGCCUAAAUCUCGUGUGAAUGUCAACACAGUCCAAAACACCUUUCCUCGAACUGUUUCAUCUGUUUUUAUUGCAAAAUCUGAUGGGACAAUUUUUAAACCAAAUCCUUCUAAAACCAACAUGUCAUCGAGCAAACCCAAAAAUGUAGGGAAAACAUCUUUUUCAAAAUCUUGUGUGGAAAGCCAAAACUUCCAUUAAUGAAAAGUCAAUUCCAGAGGUUACAAAUGUUACCCACACUCUGGAAGUCAUAAGUCCAAAGAAGACUGUUCGGAACCCUCAAGUCAUAGAAUAUGACUACUGGAUAAAUGAAAAGACAUUGACCUUCUGUCUGUUUCCAAAAACUUCAAAGAAUAUCACCCAAAAACACAAAGUUGUUCCAAAGUCACCAUCAAAGUCUAAAUCUCAUGCCUACGUCCCAAAGUCUAAUUCGGAGCCUAAAAACUCCAUUACUCACUAAUUUUGCAGGCACUUUAUGCUUCAGAGCAAAAUACAAUAUGAUAUAUUGAUAGUGCUUGCUCCAUGCACAUGUCGAGGCAAAAAGAUUUUCUACGAGACUUAAAGCUUUCUCUAAAUGUUGAUUAUGUGAUAUAUGGCAACAACUCCAACUCUCGACGUGUGGAAUUUUGCAAGAAGUAAAGCUAUGUAAUGACCGAAGAUCGAACAGAGUGCUUAAUCAAGUCGCUUCGCAACAAGAAUAUGUACCCAAUUGACAUCAACAUGAUUAUUGUCAAACCACAACUCUGCCUUCUCUCCAAAGUUGUUCCUGACAUCAGUUGGAUAUGACACUGAAGGCUCACUCAUCUAAACUUUCGGUACAUUAAUGAUCUCGUAUCUGUUGAAAUGGUGAGAGGUUUACCUCUCCUCAAAUUCGAAAAAGAUCAUUUGUGUGUUGCGUGUGAGUGUGGUAAGCAAUCGAUGAAAGGUCAUCCUGUUAUCAUCGAAAAAUCCAUUUUGAAACCAUAGGAGCUUCUAGAUAUCGAUCUUUGUGGACCAUCUACGGUUGAAAGUCUUCAUCAUAAGAAAUACAUUCUUGUGAUUGUCGAUGAUUUUACCCGGUUCACUUGGGUUUUAUCCUAAGGCUGAAAUUCGAAACAGCCUCAGAGCUCAUAAAUUUUGUUAAAGGAAUAUAAGUUCUUAUCAAACUCCCAGUCAGGAGAAUCCAAAGUGAUAAUGGAUCGGAGUUCACUAAUUCCACCAUUGAAAAGUUUCUCACAGCAAAAGGAAUUUCCCACAACUUCUCAGCCCCCUAUACUCCACAACAAAACGGUGUAGUCAAAAGACGUAAUAGAACUCUCGUUGAUGCUGCUCGAUCUAUGCUGAAUUUUGCAAACCUACCACUCUAUCUUUGGGCUGAUGUCGUGUCUACUGCCUGCUUCACUCAAAAUCGAAGUAUCAUCAAUCGACGCCUCAACAUGACACUGUACGAAGAAAUAAAUGGUCGGAAGCCAACAAUGUUGUUUUUGCAUGUUUUCGGAUCCAGGUGCUUCAUCAAGAACAACCGUGAUCAGCUUACCAAGUUCCAACCUAAAGCUGAUGAAGCCAUCUUCCUUGGGUACUCAUCAAAAUCAAAAGCUUACAGAGUUCUUAACCGGAGAACUCGUGUUCUGGAAGAAAGCUUUAAUGUUACUUUCGAUGAAAACUUCGUUCGGAAUUCUGGCCCAACUUACAUUACAACUCACAUUAUGGAGUCCGAUGCUCCUCCGCCAGGAUGUUCGAACCCCCAAACAAUCCUUGAAGUUGAUUUUGAAACAUUCUUUGGUCCUUCCGAAACUACUCUUGAUUCGGAAUCUCGAUCAAGACCAACUCUUAUUCCAAUCCAUACUUCGGAAGCUUCCAUCUCACAUAAUGUCUCCGGUCAAAUCCCAAGCCUCCCUCCAUUUGAUUCCGAAGCAUUUCAACCUUCUCUGGUUGAGGGGGAGAAUACUCAUCCCUCUCUUGAAUCAAAUGUGGAUGGUUUCCAAGAUGCAGUUGCUGAUUUCGAUAAUUCCAAUCCUCUCAACAAUGAUGAAAAUGAAAACUUUUUUGAGUUACCUUCUGAUGAUGAUGUCAAUCUCUCUGGUUCAGAAGUUCAGGGGGAGCAUUAUCCUCACAUUCAAAUUAUUCAGGGGGAGCAAAUCAAUUACACUAUUGAUAUAGGAUCGAGGGCUGCACAAGAACUACCACGAUUACAUGUUUGGACAAAGGAUCAUCCUCCGAACCAAGUAAUUGGUAACCCAAAUGUUGGUGUACAGGCUCGUUCUGCUGUAAAUAUCCAAAAUGAAUGCCAUUUUUCAACAUUUAUAUCCAGGGUUGAACUCAAAUCCAUCAAGGAAGCAUUGGAGCAUGCUGACUAGAUUAUAGCCAUGCAAGAAGAAUUGACAGAAUUUGACCGAAAUGAAGUUUGGACCCUUGUGCCUUCUCGUCACAAUCAUCCCAUUUUCGGUACGAGAUGGGUAUUUCGCAACAUGCUAGAUGACGUUGGAGUUAUUAUUCGAAAUAAAGCAAGGUUGGUGGCAAAAGGAUUUACUCAGAUCGAAGGGCUCGACUACAAUGAGACUUUUGCUCCUGUUGCACGUCUUGAAGCCAUCAGAAUCUUUCUUGCUUAUGCUGCUCAUAAAGGAUUCAAAGUUUACCAAAUGGAUGUUAAGAGUGUCUUUCUUAAUGGUGAACUUGAUACUGAAGUAUAUCUUCAACAGCCCCCCGGUUUUGUUAAUCCUUCCUUUCGGAACCACUGUUACAAACUCCGGAAGGCUGUCUACGGACUUAAGCAGGCUCCUUGGGCAUAGUACGAGACCCUCACUGAUUUUCUCAAGCGCUCUGGUUUUCAAAGAGGAAUUCUAGAUCUCACUCUAUUUCGAAGAUCAAAUGGAAAACAUCUUAUGUUGGUACAAAUUUAUGUGGAUGACAUCAUUUUUGGGUCUACGGAUUCAUCUAUGGUUGCUGACUUUGCUAAAGUGAUGAUCAAUCGAUUCCAAAUGAGCAUGCAUCGGGAGUUAAACUUCUUUCUUGGCCUUCAAGUCAAACAGACUAAUAGAGGAAUCUUCAUUCACCAAGAGAAGUACAUUUUGGAACUCCUCAAAAAAUACUCAAUGGACACCUGUACCUCAGCCAAACUACCAAUGGGCUUCGGAUACAAGAUCUUUCCCGACCCUUCAGUUGUUUCAGUUGGCAAAAAGAAAUAUUGAGGAAUGAUUGUAUCCCUACUCUAUCUCACAACAAGUCAUCCGGAUAUCAUGUUCUCAACAUGUUUAUGUGCUAGAUUUCAAUUCAACCCAAAGAUGUCAUAUCUCUUGGCUGUGAAACAAAUCUUCCGAUACCUUAAAGGCACAAAGAAUCUCGGAAUUUGGUACUCAAAAAAUGAAAGCUUCCUUCUUCAAGCAUAUUUAGAUUUGAACUACGGUGGUCUUCAACUUGAUAGGAAAAGAACUUCAGGUGGUUGUUAAUUCUUAGGAGGUCGUUUGGUUAGUUGGUCAUCCAAGAAACAGAACUGCAUUGCACUAUCUACAGCCGAAGCAGAAUACAUCGUUGCUGCCAGCUGCACAUCUCAGGUUCUGUGGAUGAAAUCUCAACUCUUGCACUAUGGUUACCAUUUUCAACGUAUUCCUAUCUAUUGUAACUCUCAAAGUGCUAUUAUGAUUUCCCAGAAUCCAAUUCAUCACUCAAUGACUAAGCACAUCGAUAUAAGGUACCAUUUCGUAAAAGAUCACGUACUUAAUGGUAACAUUGAACUCAUUUUUGUUCCAUCUGACGAUGAGGUUGUUGAUGUCUUUACCAAGGAAUUAGACGAAACCAAAUUCAAUGGUUUUCUAAACACGAUGAGUAUGAUGAUACCAGAUCCUCAGUUCCUUCAAGAGACUUGUUAUAUUUGAUAGACGUAUUUGGAAGAAAUCUAGUUCCGAUCUCAAACUAUUUUCAUCUCGGAACUACUUUUUCUUGGAAUACAUAGGAUCAUUUUACUUAUCUUUAUUUCUGACCAUCUGUCACACCCCAAAACCGGAACGGCGGAAACGUUCUGGGGUGGAUGACGUCAUGUCAAGUAUCACAACACAUGCAUAUAGUAAUCAAAGUACAACAAAACAUUGCAUUAAUAGUAAUAAUUUUACAUGGUUACAUUACAUAAUAUCAAAGUAAUACAAGCAACAUAUAUAAAGUGCAGCAAGGUACUUAGGCCAUCUUCAUCAGCAGCUCCGGGGAUGUACCUGUCUAAUUUGCUUACCUGAGAUUACAAGUUAUUUGAAAAGCGAGUAUCAGCAUUUUUACAAAUGCUGGUGAGUUCAUAAGCAUUUAGUGUUAUUUAAUCAAAUAACUUUAAUAAGUAGUAGUGUAAGUGCUUUCAGUGCUUCAGUGUCCUUUCCAGAAAAUCCUAUAUUUUCUUUAAAUAAAGCAGCCUUCUACCAAGACUGUUUCAGUGCAUUGUGGUAAGAGGUAGUUUUCCCUUAACUGACAUUGUUAUCAAAAUACUGAAUUUGAUUAUUUAAGAAAGCAGGAGACAUCAGGGAAUAACAUAUGCCUCAGCAGUGAGAACUGCUGACUAAGGCAAAGAAUCAUAGACUCCAGGAGGGUAUCGAACUGACGACACGCCUGGUUCAGUCUAACAAAGGGGAGACAUAGACCCCAGAAGGUACCAAACGAAAGGUACAACUGGUAAGGUCUAAAACAGUAAAUAUAGACCGAAGACGAUACCAAAUGAAAGGUAUCUCUCACAAGGUCAGAACAAAGACUACGGACCCCAGACAGUAUCAAUUGAAAGAUACAGCUAGCAAGGUCGAAACAGAGACUAUAGACCCCAGACAGUAUCAAAUGAAAGAUACAGCUAGCAAGGUCGAAACAGAGAUUAUAGACCCCAGACAGUAUCAAAUGAAAGAUACAGCUAGCAAGGUCGAAACAGAGACUAUAGACCCCAGACAGUAUCAAAUGAAAGAUACAGCUAGCAAGGUCGAAACAGAGUGACUCUGAAAAGUGACAUCAGCAUACAGUGUAAAUUGCUGACGAAAAUACCGUUACCUUAAAGCCAUGAAUUAUAAGGCAACCCAGGAUACUCGUAACCAUACUGACUAGAGUUCCAGACGCCCUACAAGCAUCUAUAUAAUAUGACAUUUGUCACCCCUUGGCUUGGUGGGCCGUGGACUGUAGCUAGCAGUCAGGGUGCGGGGUUGUCAAUCCCGUAUAGGCCUAUACACACAAUGUCCGCUCUCCCUACAGGAGACUCUGGUUACCAACUAGACGACGGAGAAGGCCGCGUCCCGAAGAUGCAUCCCAAAUAGAGAAUAGUGUGUUUCUUGAGGGGAGUGGGUUUCUAAUACAAAUGAUAUACUAGAGGUAGAGACUUCCAAACAGUGGGUAGUGUGUUUCUAAAGUAAGUGUAGAAUAGAUGAAGAGACUCUUAAUUGACUUGACUAGAGAAUUCCCUAUAUGUCCAUACCCAUAUACAUAGUAUUUAACUAAUGGACCAAACGACCUUCGGACGGCUACCCGAUCCCACCAGACCACAUCUCAACGAAGAAAAGGAAAUAGGGCCGAUGAGCCUUCCUAAGUCUUUCAGUCAUUACUUAUAUAUACCUAUAUAAGUACGGACAUACAUCUAACUAUGACUAAGUGGGUAUCAAGUGAAAGUGAUUCUCGUGAAGUAGGAGUGUCUAAUAAGUGAAGCAAGAGCGGUCGCAAGUGAAGUAUAAGUGUCGAAUAAGUAUAGGCGCAUCGCGAAGUAGAUAUGACCACAAGUGAAGUAAGAGCGUAUCAAGUAUAAGUGAAGUAAAGUCGAUCUCAAAUACAAGCGAAGUAGAAUCGUAUCACUAAGUAAGAGGGUAAAUAAGUAUAAGCGUUAUCAGGUAUAAGUGACUUCAGGUAUAAGCAAAAACAUUACAGAGUAGGAGCAUAAAAUAAGUAUAAGCGAAGCAGUGGUAUCUAACAAUUAAAAGUAUUCAUGAAAAACCCUUAAAGAUUUUGUUACUCAGGAAAAUCGCAUUUGUAUUCUUUGAUAAAAUAGGUGUGAAAAUCUUUAGAAAUCUUUGAGAAUCUUUUAUAAAUCAGUUGAAAUGAGUCUUUGAUAAGCUAUGAAAGUAAGAACUUGAACAAUUUAAAAACCCUUUUUGAAAGCCAUUUAUAGUGUCCUACUCGGUAAAACAGUGUACAGUGGUAAAAUCUUGUGCAUGCGGGUUAUCAAUCACAUGUGAUUGAUAUGAUAACUGGCAUGUUUAACUUGUAAUCCCCCCCUAUGAAAACAUUUAAAAGCAUUAAAAAGGUUCAUUCAGGGGUAUGAACUCACCUGGUAUAAGUAGGUCCGACGGUAGUGCCGUUUAGGCGUUCGGGGUCACGCAAGGACUUGAACACACACAAGGACCUAUUUUAACAUAUGAUAACAUAUGUUCACAUACAAUUAGCAUAUAAUAUACUAAUUAAACAAUUAUACACACUCAAAGGAGUGGAAAACACUUUUGGUUGAGUGUUUGGGGUCCCGGGUAGCGUUUAAGGGUGCUAAGGGUCUCCUAUCAGUUGUGGGACUUUGCUAUGCUCAAGUAUCAAGGGUGUAAAGGGGUUUAAAGCAUCAAUAUGGACCAAACAAGGAGUUUACGGCCCAACCUAAGGGAGUUUACGGCCGUAAACUCCCAAGGUCAUGUUCUUGGGGUUUUGAUGCUUCUAGCUUGUUCCUUGAUUUAUUCUAAGCACUUUUCAUCAAAGGCAUGAUUGGAUUUGAGGUUCCUAAGGGCCUUAUAAUGGAGUUUACGGCCUAAGAACAACUCCUAAAGGAGUUUACGGCCGUAAACUCUAAAUCAUUGAGUUUUGUGAUGUUUCAAGCCCCUAAUGCCUUUCUAGUGAUUUCUAAUGAAGUGUGAUGCCAUUUUGGGUGAUUAAAACCAACAUUUGAGGGGGUUUUGGGGAGUUUACGGCCUAGAUAAUGCUUGGGCCGUAAACUCCAAGAAAUCCCUCAUUUUCCUUGUGUUUAAGCCCUUAAUUCCUUUCUAGCAUUUUAUAGAAAUAGCCUAUGGUCAUUUGGGGGGCAAAAACUACAAUUUUGGGCAUGAAUUAGGGUGUUUACGGCCUUGACCAUGUCUGGGCCGUAAACUCCUUUCUUUAAUUCAUUUUGGAGUGUUUCAAGGGUCUAAACUCAAGAGGAUAAGUCCCUAAAUUAUGUAAUAAGCCCUAGGAUGAGUUUGGUGCACAUUUGGGACCAUGACUUGUGGAGUUUACGGCCUAAGCAUGUGCUUGGGCCGUAAACUCUUCUUUGAGUCCUAAAUCCAUGCAUUUUAGUGUUUAAACACCCCUAGGCUAUAUCCCCUAAUAGUUUCUAAGCUCAUGGUCAAGUUUAAAGGCAUUUUUAACACCUUUUUAGGGGUUUACGGCCCUAGAAUGUUCCUGGGCCGUAAACUCCUUAUCUUAUGCCUUCUUGGAUGAUUUUUGGGCUAUAAACAUAAAUCAAUACGCUUAGAAUAAGUUAGGGUAAGCGGACUUACAAUUUGGAAGCGUUUGGUUGCGAAUUCGGGGCGAAAACGGGUCUAGAGAGAGAGUAUAGAGAGAGAGUGUAAAAAGUCUCCAAUGGACUCCACUCACCCAUAUAUAGGUUUCACAGUCGGGGCUCAGUGGAAUUUUACCCGAUACUGCCGUUAAACGGGGCUUUUGGUCGCACCCGAUUUAGUGGUCGUAAUAAUAAAACUUGACAUUUUCCAAAUGAAUGAAAAUGUGUGUCCUGUGUUUUUAUUUCCUUUUAUCACGACUUAACGGCAUGUUAACGGUAACCAAAUGGAAUGUUUAUUAAAUUGAUGCCCUCUAAUUAACGGAACUUUUAUACAGUGGAAUAUUCCGUUAACGGUAACGGGGAAAUGUAACGGGACAACUUGGGUUGUCACAUCAUCCCCCCGUUAGAGGGAAUUUCGUCCCGAAAUUCAAGUCUAGACAAGGAAGUAGGCAUGAAUGGCCAAGUAGAGAUGAGGGAGUACUUCCUAUACGGUUGCCCUUGCAUUCCCAAGUGAUCUCUAGUCUGUGUUUGUCCUUCCCACAGAUCUUCACAUACGGGAUGCGCAUUCCGUCUAGUGUAGCUAGCGGGUUCCGACUGGUGUAUCUAUGAAGUCAGGGUUCUCGAUGGAUUCUAUCAAGAUGAGUGAGGCACGAAGAGUGUUGUCGGAUAAUCGCAUAUCAAGUCUAAGAAGUGGAUCGGUCGAAUGUGAAUCUUGUGGUAUAUCCGAAAGUAGUAGUGGUCUGAAAAGGAUUGGACCAAAUUUCCAUGAGGAUUCCCGGAUGGUCCUACGCUCUAGGAAGGGUAGAGCCUUUCAGUACUUAGAACAUAGUGUACUUCUAUGGCAAGAUCAUCACUGGCGUGAUCGCCAUUCCGAAGUUCCUAACGUUCUCUCUCGUACUGGUAGUGUAGUCCUUCGGGUUGGUUCUUAGGAAUCUCAAGUGGUCUUCAGUUUCAUGCUUUCUUUCCACUGGAUGAUAGAGGCUUCCUAGAUCGUCAAGUGGGUUGCGCGACUAUGGUCAUCGGUUUGCUAUAGAGUGUCUAUCUCCAGCUUGUGCAAAAUGGACCUGCACUAACGACGCUUGAGAUACGGAAACCCUGAGAAUCGGGGAGAUAGGGUUUCACCAGACGAGUGUUGGACUAUCUCGCGAGGUAGUUCUACUAUCUCUGCUUGAGAUAGUAUUCGGAGAACACCUAUUAGUCCAAGGAAUCUCUAAGACUGUGGUUUAUUCUAGCGUGGAAAGUGCGUGCUCCGACGUAAUCCCUCGACUAACACCAAGGCUGGUGUCGAGUCUAUAAUCUUUUCGGGAUCCGUGUCAUGAGAUUUAACGCAACUACUUUCGCACUUGACCAAGUAUUCUUGGCUGCGAAGGUUACCCUGUGGUUCUCGGUAUUCUAGUGUUUACCUCGGGAAAUAUGAUUCAUCAUCUACGAGGCGACGACGAUUUUCCUCCUUGUGAGAGGGUGGAGGAUGAUAAGCACUACCUGCCUAUAACUGGGUGGGCAAGGUGCAGGAGUAGUGCGAGCACCUACCGCAACUAUUCUCCCAAAGGUUCUGAGUUUUCUCGGUCUAAGGCAAAUCUAGUGGGCAUAGGGUCUCUUCACUCGGAACUCUACUAGCUCAAUCCGCAGUAGUUCUCUUGAUUUUCUGCUCCUAUGUCAUCGAAUGGGGUGAAAGUGUUUUGCGAAGAGGUUCAUGGUAGAACUCAUGCGUGGCUUAACUGCCCAUACUUGAUGGAUGCCAGCAGUACACCUGGUCAUAGUGGCCAGCCUCAUGAGUUCUAUUCUCUGGGUUCACGAACCUUAUGUGUGAGGUGAGGAGGGUCACCCAGGGAACUCAACGGAGUAUGCCUCGGAUGGUUGUCGUUUUCUGAGGUAUUUGCAGUGCCUUUCACUUUGGUGUUCAUUUGACUACGAGGGGUCGAUCGACGGCGUGGGGUACCCUCACUUGAGUACUUCGGAAGGUUUGAGAUAAGAGGGACGAUUGACGAAUUGCAUUAGAUGUGAUUAUUUGUGUUAGGUUCGGGUUCGGAGGAACCUUUAUUUGCCGAUAUGGCCAUGGAGAAAGCUCACAGCACUAAGAAUGUACACAUGGUUGCACGAAGUCAAACCGUGCUCAAUAGAGUCGUCGAAGUUGGCUCACUUCGACAUGAUAUAAAGUGAAGAUCGAUAGAGUCAUGUGCCGAACAGGCACACAAGUUCUAGGCGUCUCGGGUUUCGUCCCAUAUAUCGCUACCGCGGAUACUUGGACCGAUAGAGUCGACGCGGAACUAUAGAGAGUUCUAAGUGUUUCCGAAUAGAGUAUCUUUUCUUGAAUGGAUUCUCACGAGGCAUUUCUACAAUCGCCUCACAUAUACUAGUCAUGUAUAUUUAAGGUGGGGAGGACUGUUGACUGAGCGACCCCGCCCUAAAUCCACAACCAAACGAGGAACAGGAAAUGAGGCGGCAUUCGCUCACUCUAGGUCUAUCCAUCCUAAAUAUACAUGGCCGUAACGUAUAUGUUUAGCCAUUGUAGUUUUACCUAAUGAAAUUUUAAAUUUUAUAACAGUGCUGCGACUUUCACCUUACUAGAAAGAAUUUAUACUUGAAUUAGUCUUUUAUUGUUUUCUUAGCUUAGUUAUCCGGGAUCGAGAGACGUACCAAAAAUCCAACGAGUUUCUUUGCUGCUUCUUCCUAAGCAGUAGUGUCAGGCUCCUUCUGUGUCUUUGUCUUUCUCUUCAGUUGGGCAGUCCCUCUUAAAGUGUCCCAUUUUACCACAUAGGUGGCAAACUAUACGGGUCGCCACAUUGGUGGUUGGUGUAAUGAACUCAACCGGGGUUCUGCAGACACGAGCAGUAUGCCCCAGCAUGUGGCACCUAGCACAAUAAAGUUCCCGGCAGGUACCAUGAUGAUGGUAGCUGCACUUGCUGCAGUGGGGAAGGUCUCCUAGGUAUGGUCUUCUUGAGGUCGGGAGGGAAGGAUUUACAGGGGUAUCGACUGCCUCAGCUCGUUGCCCUUCGGAAGGUCCUGGAGCCGAGGUACUUCCCUCCUCUAUCUUGAAUUUUCUCUUUAGUGGGUUAAGUGGAGGUUCUUGGGUGGCUGAGUGGGGAAGAGUGGGUUGCUGCCGUCCAUUGCCAGAAUUAGAAAUCCCGACAGGGCCCUUGCUAACAUUGGCGUUGUUAGCAUUCAGGUGAGCCAUGACAGCUGCUGAGACUGCAGCUUGGAACGUAGCUUCAUCGAAUAAGAGGGCAGGUUUCUUGCUUGCGGAUUGGUUACGCUUCUUCGGUGGCAUGGUUUUUCCUACACGGAGAGGAAUACAAGGUAAUGAGAGAUGAUGGUUAACCCUGGACAUUUCUGUCCUGAACGCAUUAGGCAUAAAUUUUUCCCGUGCCUCGGGUACUAGUUGUUUGAACGUUGACCUACAUCCCUAUGAUGUAGUCCUGGAAAUCAAGGUAAGAGUAUGAGUAUCGGAAAAAGGCCAUAAGAUGCGAGUCGUUCCUACUAAGUUACUUUUAUACAUGGAAAGGUUUCACUCUCCGGCCUGGAGAGAAUUGAGAACGGUUCGGAACGAAAUCGUGGAAAGGGAAACUCACAAGGGCAGAUGGCUAAAAUUUUCUCAAUAGAGAUGUGGGGAUCCGCCCUAAUCGCGUAUCUGGCAACGGGAAACGACGAUUUACCUAACACAUAGCGUGAGUAGUGUAACCACUAACUCACUAAACUGCAUCAUUUUUAAGGGUGAAUUAUCGUGGCGAAUACGAGGAAAAGACAAUUCCCGGGUUCUAUGUACUAGCUCCCUCGGUCUGCCUCGUAUCUUUGGCUGGAAUCGGCGUUGGCUUCCUUCGGGUAGUUUCCUAGGGUUCUCUUCUUGUAUGGACAUAUCGAAUUUCUACUCCGCCUUCCUUCUGAUUCCAACUAUGGGUGUCAUCACUUCAUGAUGGAUGACUAGGAAUCUCCGAAGUUUAGGCGAAUCUCUCACCACUGUCCUUAAGAGAAUAUGGGCACUUGGUGCAUUCAAUAGUCUCGACCCAGUUCAUUUAUUUCCGAACAGGAAAUCUUCUCAAUGAAUCUCCUCGGGGUCGGAAUCAACUCUUCUGUCAAGCACUGAAGUGGGUAGGGUUUUCUACAGGGUUCGCGCGAGAAUGGAAAUGUCUAAAGAAUCCUAAGGGAUUAUUAACAUUUCACUGUAUGAUCCAUAUCGAGUCCUGCUACGAUUACACAGGGUAUACAAAUCCUAUAUAGCUUAGAUCCGAUAGGCCUUCGAAUAUGUGAUACUACUCUAGGACCACAUCCCAACGAGGAAAAGGAAACAGAGCGAAACCACACCUUCUUAGCCUAUGGGGUCUUUAUUAUAUAAGAUCUUGGAAGUACACCCUCUGUAGUUGUAGGUAUAUCGAUAAGGGUCUUUUUAAUUAUUCACGCAAGGUUGUUUAUAGAUUCUAAAAUACCCCCAUGGUAUUUUAAUUCUUGAUUGAGUCUUAUCUUCUGAUUAUGAUUCUGGGAUUAGUGUGGAUCUUUUAGCGUUCUAAAAUACUCCUAUAGUAUUUUAACUUUAUGUUUGGCUCUAGAAUUCCUAUUUGGUAAGUUUCAGAUCUGCUGCACACCACUAUCACUCCCGAGCACACGUUCAUCGCAUCUCGGAUAAAUGUAGUUGAUCAGGUUACAUUUAUCCCAGCUUACGAUUACAUAACUGCCCAGGUUUGACUGUAGUGCUCAACAUCCGAAGACUUUUAUUAUUGUCCUUCUUGUGAUACUUUUGUUCGAGUGCUUAGAUUCUGGAUGUUAUUAUACUUUGGUAAAAUAUGGUUAUAUUUUAAAGUAUAAUUCUUGGUCAGAGUGUUUUAUCCCAUUGCAUUUAUAGGCUGUAUAUCUUUUAUGAAUUGAUAUACUUAGCUCACUAUAAACAAUGCUCUGAUACCAAUCUGUCACACCCCAAAACCGGAACGGCGGAAACGUUCUGGGGUGGAUGACGUCAUGUCAAGUAUCACAACACAUGCAUAUAGUAAUCAAAGUACAACAAAACAUUGCAUUAAUAGUAAUAAUUUUACAUGGUUACAUUACAUAGUAUCAAAGUAAUACAAGCAACAUAUAUAAAGUGCAGCAAGGUACUUAGGCCAUCUUCAUCAGCAGCUCCGGGGAUGUACCUGUCUAAUUGCUUACCUGAGAUUACAAGUUAUUUGAAAAGCGAGUAUCAGCAUUUUUACAAAUGCUGGUGAGUUCAUAAGCAUUUAGUGUCAUUUAGUCAAAUAACUUUAAUAAGUAGUAGUUUAAGUGCUUUCAGUGCUUCAGUGUCCUUUCCAGAAAAUCCUAUAUUUUCUUUAAAUAAAGCAGCCUUCUACCAAGACUGUUUCAGUGCAUUGUGGUAAGAGGUAGUUUUCCCUUAAUUGACAUUGUCAUCAAAAUAUUGAAUUUGAUUAUUUAAGAAAGCAGGAGACAUCAGGGAAUAACAUAUGCCUCAGCAGUGAGGACUGCUGACUAAGGCAAAGAAUCAUAGACUCCAGGAGGGUAUCGAACUGACGACACGCCUGGUUCAGUCUAACAAAGGGGAGACAUAGACCCCAGAAGGUACCAAACGAAAGGUACAGCUGGUAAGGUCUAAAACAGUAAAUAUAGACCGAAGACGAUACCAAAUGAAAGGUAUCUCUCACAAGGUCAGAACAAAGACUACGGACCCCAGACAGUAUCAAAUGAAAGAUACAGCUAGCAAGGUCGAAACAGAGACUAUAGACCCCAGACAGUAUCAAAUGAAAGAUACAGCUAGCAAGGUCGAAACAGAGAUUAUAGACCCCAGACAGUAUCAAAUGAAAGAUACAGCUAGCAAGGUCGAAACAGAGACUAUAGACCCCAGACAGUAUCAAAUGAAAGAUACAGCUAGCAAGGUCGAAACAGAGACUAUAGACCCCAGACAGUAUCAAAUGAAAGAUACAGCUAGCAAGGUCGAAACAGAGAUUAUAGACCCCAGACAGUAUCAAAUGAAAGAUACAGCUAGCAAGGUCGAAACAGAGACUAUAGACCCCAGACAGUAUCAAAUGAAAGAUACAGCUAGCAAGGUCGAAACAGAGUGACUCUGAAAAGUGACAUCAGCAUACAGUGUAAAUUGCUGACGAAAAUACCGUUACCUUAAAGCCAUGAAUUAUAAGGCAACCCAGGAUACUCGUAACCAUACUGACUAGAGUUCCAGACGCCCUACAAGCAUCUAUAUAAUAUGACAUUUGUCACCCCUUGGCUUGGUGGGCCGUGGACUGUAGCUAGCAGUCAGGGUGCGGGGUUGUCAAUCCCGUAUAGGCCUAUACACACAAUGUCCGCUCUCCCUACAGGAGACUCUGGUUACCAACUAGACGACGGAGAAGGCCGCGUCCCGAAGAUGCAUCCCAAAUAGAGAAUAGUGUGUUUCUUGAGGGGAGUGGGUUUCUAAUACAAAUGAUAUACUAGAGGUAGAGACUUCCAAACAGUGGGUAGUGUGUUUCUAAAGUAAGUGUAGAAUAGAUGAAGAGACUCUUAAUUGACUUGACUAGAGAAUUCCCUAUAUGUCCAUACCCAUAUACAUAGUAUUUAACUAAUGGACCAAACGACCUUCGGACGGCUACCCGAUCCCACCAGACCACAUCUCAACGAAGAAAAGGAAAUAGGGCCGAUGAGCCUUCCUAAGUCUUUCAGUCAUUACUUAUAUAUACCUAUAUAAGUACGGACAUACAUCUAACUAUGACUAAGUGGGUAUCAAGUGAAAGUGAUUCUCGUGAAGUAGGAGUGUCUAAUAAGUGAAGCAAGAGCGGUCGCAAGUGAAGUAUAAGUGUCGAAUAAGUAUAGGCGCAUCGCGAAGUAGAUAUGACCACAAGUGAAGUAAGAGCGUAUCAAGUAUAAGUGAAGUAAAGUCGAUCUCAAAUACAAGCGAAGUAGAAUCGUAUCACUAAGUAAGAGGGUAAAUAAGUAUAAGCGUUAUCAGGUAUAAGUGACUUCAGGUAUAAGCAAAAACAUUACAGAGUAGGAGCAUAAAAUAAGUAUAAGCGAAGCAGUGGUAUCUAACAAUUAAAAGUAUUCAUGAAAAACCCUUAAAGACUUUGUUACUCAGGAAAAUCGCAUUUGUAUUCUUUGAUAAAAUAGGUGUGAAAAUCUUUAGAAAUCUUUGAGAAUCUUUUAUAAAUCAGUUGAAAUGAGUCUUUGAUAAGCUAUGAAAGUAAGAACUUGACAAAUUUAAAAACCCUUUUUGAAAGCCAUUUAUAGUGUCCUACUCGGUAAAACAGUGUACAGUGGUAAAAUCUUGUGCAUGCGGGUUAUCAAUCACAUGUGAUUGAUAUGAUAACUGGCAUGUUUAACUUGUAAUCCCCCCCUAUGAAAACAUUUAAAAGCAUUAAAAAGGUUCAUUCAGGGGUAUGAACUCACCUGGUAUAAGUAGGUCCGACGGAAGUGCCGUUUAGGCGUUCGGGGUCACGCAAGGACUUGAACACACACAAGGACCUAUUUUAACAUAUGAUAACAUAUGUUCACAUACAAUUAGCAUAUAAUAUACUAAUUAAACAAUUAUACACACUCAAAGGAGUGGAAAACACUUUUGGUUGAGUGUUUGGGGUCCCGGGUAGCGUUUAAGGGUGCUAAGGGUCUCCUAUCAGUUGUGGGACUUUGCUAUGCUCAAGUAUCAAGGGUGUAAAGGGGUUUAAAGCAUCAAUAUGGACCAAACAAGGAGUUUACGGCCCAACCUAAGGGAGUUUACGGCCGUAAACUCCCAAGGUCAUUUUCUUGGGGUUUUGAUGCUUCUAGCUUGUUCCUUGAUUUAUUCUAAGCACUUUUCAUCAAAGGCAUGAUUGGAUUUGAGGCUUCUAAAGGUAUUUUAUAGGAGUUUACGGCCUAAGAACUCUCCCAAGGGAGUUUACGGCCGUAAACUCUCAAUCUUUGAGUUUAGUGAAGUUUCAAGCCUCUAAUGCCUUUCUAGUGAUUUCAAAUGAAGUGUGAUGCUAUUUUGGAGGAUUAAAACUAACAUUUGAGGGGGUUUUUGGGGAGUUUACGGCCUAGAUAAUGCUUGGGCCGUAAACUCCAAGAAAUGUCUCAUUUUUCUUGUGUUUAAGCCUUUAAUUCCAUUCUAGCAUUUUAUGGUAAAUGUCUAAGGCCAUUAGGGGGGCAAAAAUCACACUUUUGGGCAUGAUUUAGGGAGUUUACGGCCUUGACUAUUCAUGGGCCGUAAACUCCUUUCUUUAAUUCAUUUUGGAGUGUUCUAGUGUCCUAAACUCAAAGGAAUAAGUCCCUAAAAUAUGUAAUAAGCCCUAGGAUGAGUUUGGUGCACAUUUGGGACCCUAACUUGUGGAGUUUACGGCCUAAGCAUGUGCUUGGGCCGUAAACUCUUCUUUGAGUCCUAAAUCCAUGCAUUUUAGUGUUUAAACACCCCUAGGCUAUAUCCCCUAAUAGUUUCUAAGCUCAUGGUCAAGUUUAAAGGCAUUUUUAACACCUUUUUAGGGGUUUACGACCCUAGAAUGUUCCUGGGCCGUAAACUCCUUAUCUUAUGCCUUCUUGGAUGACUUUUGGGCUAUAACCAUAAAUCAAUACGCUUAGAAUAAGUUAGGGUAAGCGGACUUACAAUUUGGAAGCGUUUGGUUGCGAAUUCGGGGCGAAAACGGGCCUAGAGAGAGAGUAUAGAGAGAGAGUGUAAAAAGUCUCCAAUGGACUCCACUCACCCAUAUAUAGGUUUCACAGUCGGGGCUUAGUGGAAUUUUACCCGAUACUGCCGCUAAACGGGGCUUUUGGUCGCACCCGAUUUAGUGGUCGCAAUAAUAAAACUUGGCAUUUUCUAAAUGAAUGAAAAUGUGUGUCUUGUGUUUUUAUUCCCUUUUAUCACGACUUAACGGCAUGUUAAAGGUAACCAAAUGGAAUGCUUAUUAAAUUGAUGCCCUCUAUUUAACGGAACUUUUAUACAGUGGAAUAUUCCGUUAACGGUAACGGGGAAAUGUAACGGGACAACUUGGGUUGUCACACCAUCACUUAAGUUUUUAAGUUGUACAGUUUAUUCUGAUUGAUUGUUGUUUUAAACCCACAUUGACCUUGAAUUCGAACUGUUAUCACGGAAUAUACUUCAUAAUGGCAUCCCAAAAUUCCACUCUCGAAAGGUACUAUGUUCUGCACUCAGGAAUUUCAAAAUCAACUCCGAAAGCUUUUCUAAAAUUUCACUCUGGAAAUUUUUGAAAAUCACUAUUCCGGAAUUUUUGCUCUAAACUCACCAACCCUUUCGAAUCAAACUGAACUUUUGUUCCAGAAUCACAAACCUUUUCAGCACACUAAAUUUUGACUCUGGAACUAAAACUCACUUCGGAUUAUAUCUUGUUCCGAAACCCUUUUUCAAAACAAGUAUGUUCCGGAAUGCAACUCUUUACCCUCCGGAACACACCAUGUCCGGAAUAGCUUAUCCGAAAGUCUAAAGGAUAAUAAUGUGAAACGUUUUUCUCUCAACGGUUACUUUUUUGGAAGAUCUCUAUCCUAUCUUCCUCGAUUCUCGUGACACGAUUUCAAGCCCCCAUAAUCGCAGCCAUCAACUCGACGGUUGUGUUUUCCAUUUUUAGCCACAAACAACCUCAUUUUUCACCUCCCAAGUCAACUUAGCCCCCGUAAACUUCUUUACCAUUUAAUGCGACCCAUUUUGUGUUCGGAUCCUCAUCAUUACUUUACCGACCAGACCCACCAACCUUACCUAUAUUGUAACACCGUAAAUUUUCAAAUAAAAUUUUCAUUUAAAAUCGCAUAUUUCUCAUAAUAUAUUUCAUAUAAAUCUCAUUUAUUCAAUUUACAAAUCAUAAUUCCAUACUUGUUUGAUUAAAAUCCAGGAUCUUCAAAAGAUAACUCUUUCACUAGUGUAUGUACAAUCAAGCCGGUGCCUUCCCGUGAUUCUGAGAAACCUGAAACACAUAACACAUAACACGGUAAGCAUGAAGCUUAGUGAGUUCCCCAAAAGACCACAUACAACACAUUAGCCACACGAGGCUAUAAUUCUGUAUGACCCUCUAGUCCAUGUGUCUCAGUGGGACCCUCCAGUCCCACAACUCUGAUGGAUCCUUUGCUCCUAACUCUGUGGAACCUCUAGUCCUAACUCUGUAAACUCUAAGAAAUACACAACAUGAAUCACAAAGAAAUAAUGAAGGAUAUCACGAUACACAGAUAAGCACAUAAGAAAUCUAUAUCACACAAAAUACCACUCAUGGUAAAGUAUAGUGAGAAGACUCACCUCGACAGCAAGCAUGCAUCCCCGUACUCAAAUCUCGAACUAGCCACUUCCUACACAUAGGGUAGUUACCUCAAUAAAUACUCGAUUCUCGAAUCUAAGCAACCAAAAUUUAUUCUUCUCUCUUUGAUCUGAUUCCUCAUUCAGAUGAUUUCAAACAGAUCUAUCACUCCAAACAUUAGAUCUGCCAUCUCAAGGCCCAAAAAGAAUGUAAAGCUUCGAUCUUUAUGUUUAUGCAUGAUGUUAUUGCUCCAAAAUGCUAAUACAAGCCCUUCAUGAGUGAUUAAGCCCAAAAACCCUCAUAUGGAUGCAUAAAGUUGGGACACCUAGACUCUAAGGACCUUACAAGGUCUAGAUCUGAGGUCUAGACUCUUUGAUAACUCAUGCUAUUCAAAACCCCCAAACAAAAGAUGGAAAAAAAGCCCUAAAACUCCAUAUAUAUGAGAUCUAUCCAAAACACGAAGAAAGGUGAAGACUUCAUACCUUCCUCAGGAGCUCUGGACAGGAAAUCACUGGAUCCAAGGAGUGUAAUAAUGCCCUAAUCCCUUCCAAAGGCCUAGCCACCAAGUAGAAAUGCUUCAAAGGACUUGUAAAACCUCAAAACAACAUAUGGUCAUAAGGUGUAGAGUUUACGACCGUAACCCCUUGAGUUUACUGCCGUAAACUCCUUGGGUAAUGGUCAUGAAAACCGUAAACUCCAAAGGAGUUUACCCUUGAACCCCAAACACUCUAGCUUUGCCCUACAAACACUUGGAUGCAACCCUUGUGAUCUUUAACACUUGAAACAAAGUGUUUUCAUGUUCUAGAGUGUCCCAACUUAAUUUAUUAGUUAUAAAUUGGCUAAUUAGUUAUAUAUAUAUUCAUUAUAUGAUAACUAGGCUCGUGCGUGUGUACAAGUCNUAUAUAUAUAUAUGUUCAUCAUAUGAUAACUAGGCUCGUGCGUGUGUACAAGUCUCCAUUUGUCACCUAGCACCGUAUCCGACACUUCAAUCCAAUCCACUCACUGCAAGUGAGUUCAUACCCCUUUAACUAACCUUUGAAAUACUUUUAAAAGUUUUAAAUGCUUUAAUGGGGGGAUACAAGAUGAAUACUUAUAGUUAUUACAUCAAUCACAUGUGAUUAAUAACUACAAAACUAAUGAUUUUCUUGCUGUUCAAACUGUUUUGCUUCAAGCUGUUUUACAAAUUCUUAUACUUACCAAAUACAUUUACUUAAGGUUUGUUAUACUUUUAUCAAUUGCAUGUCAAUGUAUGUAUAUUUAUAUAAGCAAUGUUUAAAAGGCUUAGGAAGGCCUUCCCGCCUUAUUUCCUUUUUGCCGUUGAGAUGUGGUCUGGUGGGGUAUCGGGUAUCCGUCCGAAGGUCGUUUAAAUAUUAGUUAUAUAUCAUGUGUACAUAUAUAGUCAUAAAAGUUCUCCCAUAUUCAUACGUACCGGUUACAUCAUUAGUAAGUUACGAUAGGGGUAGCACAGGAUAAUACUAAUACUAUUGCUAGAACAAUGAAAUAUACAAUGAGUCAGUUCAUUCAUGAGUCAUAUAUGUUACAUUACUAUGAGAACAUAUACAACUAUGCUAGAAGAAGAACAUAUACANCAUUACUAUGAGAACAUAUACAACCAUACUAGAAGAAGAACAUAUACAACUAUACUAGAAGAAUAACAUAUACAAAUAUACUAGGAAGAGAACAAAAACAACGAUACUAGAACGAGUAACAAUACAUUACAUAUACAUGAAUACAUUAACAUAAAUGUGAUCCACUGUAUCGGAGCAUGCCUUCAAUGUCAUGGCCCGAGUUGUAGCCAGAGUCUCUUGGAGGGAGAGUGUGAGUUUGCGUAUAGAUCUAUACUGGAUUGACUAUCCUACACCUUGCUGCUAGCUACAACCGGACCUGCAGGUCUGCGGGUGCUAAACGUCAUACCUUUUUACGACUUACAUUAUCGUGUUUCAUAGUCGAUAGUAUGCUACAAUUAAUCACAUAAUACCUUGAUAUAAAUCUGGUUUAAGGUAGUUAGUACAGAAGUAGUUCCUAUAAUACAACACUACAGUACUACAUUAAUUUACCAUUUACAUAUAUUUACUGAUCAUUUCACUUAAACAUUAAUGUACAAACUAUAUUUUGAUAAUGAUAGUUACACUUGGGAAAAUUACACACUUUUACAAUAAACGAACAUUCAAAGCAGUUAUGCCUUGGUAGAAGGCUACUUUUAGUAGAAAAUAUAGGAUUUUCUAGGAGGUUCAAACUUUUACGAACACUUACAAACAUUCAUAUACUUUUAUUAGAAUUGUUUACAAACUCAUACUUCAAAAUCGUGUUCAAACAUUUUGAUACAAACACCGACACUAAAAUACUUAUGAACUCACCAGCUUUAAUGCUGAUAAACUCUUUCAAAAUAACUUGUAUUCUCAGGUCAUCAGUAGACAGGUACCGAGGCCAGCUUUUGAGAAGAUGGAGCGCAUCCAAGACUCAUCUUAUUAUUUUGAUUUACAUUUUUGGUGUCUAUAACUAUACAGAACACGCUUGUAUUAAAACUAUAUAUUUAAUGCAAUUGAUGAUGUUGUUUGCUUGUUUACUGUUAUACUGUGUUGUGAUACUUUACAUGACGUCCUCCGCCCCAGAACGUUUCCGCCGUUCUCAGUUUUGGGGUGUGACAUAAUGCUUCCAACUUUACUUUAUCUAGAGGUAUUGUUCCUGUUGGCUUCAUAGUCGGCCAAUGUGUUAGUCACGUGUAGUUCAAUCAUUAAUUCAUUUGAAGUUAUGUGUAGUAGUGGUAUCGAUGUUAGAUAACCGCUCGUGGACCUCUUAGGAGGCAUUGUUUUUUCAUGCAUAUGAGUCAUGCAAAAAUAUUGUUGUAAGUGCAAACGAUAUUAUUCCAAUCGUAACAAAUGCAUUAAUUUGCAAUGGAUUCAUUCAUGAAUGGCACUAUGUUGGAUAUUAUGUGUAGGUGACUGCACCCAAAAGGGUGUUAUUCAACCAGAAGAAUGAGUAAAAAGGAAACUAUAAAGUAAUGGGACAAAAGUGCAAAUUCAUGAAGAAUAUGCUUCCAUAUAAAUUUGACCACUACUCGAUGUUUUGAUCAUAUAUCAUGUUCUGGAGUUAUAAUUAACAUGAAUUAAGAUGUUUUGGAAACUAGAUAAAAUUUCAUAAAAUUUUCUUGUUUUGCGUUUUCACUGAUUAAGCUGUUUUCGCCUUCAAAAGGGUUACGAGAGAUGAAGGGAAAGUGUAAGUGUCGUUCUUUUGAACAUGGAUGGUUCAAACAUAAGUUGGAUGGUUCAAAUCGGGAAAAAUAGAUUGAUUGAAUACCUAAGCCGUAAUUCAUACUAAUCUGCAAGUAGUUAUUCAUAGAUAUGUAAUAGAAACAUACAUAUAGUAUCAUCGUCGAGUAAUUAGCAUUCUGCAAUAAAAUCAUACAUGAAUGAUGUUUAUGAGUACUAGAGUUGCUGGGUUUUAGUUCAAAAAAAGUUUAAAAACUACAAAAUAUGGCAAAUGGAAGACUUUAUUUUUCGAGAUAACAUAAACAUUUUAUACCCAUCAAGGAUCAUCUUGAAAGUUACUGAAAGAUUUAAACAACAACCAAAGAAAAAGUGACGAAAUAACAACAUUUGUUGUUCUUUGGGUCCUCUUGGGAGACUUGGAAGUUGAUGAAAAUUGAGAAUUUUUGAGUCACCAACAAGUUGUCAACUUGAUUUAGAUGCUAGUCCAUAACUCUUAAUCUUGAAGUUCAUAACCAGUAUUAACUUCAAGAGAGCAAAAGAUAAGCAAGUAUUUCUUCAUGCAAAAGCAAAACUAGAGAGAAUGAGAUAGGAGGUGAUGGAUUCGGCCAUCAUGCAAGAGUAAGGGAAAAAAGAGCAAAUCCUUUCCUAUAAAGCUUAAUCUUUAUCAAAAGGACUUAACACUUUUAAGUCAAUCAUGCACCUAAGACCAAAUUGCCCCCCCCCCCCCCCCCCCCCCCNUUUAAGCCAUGCAUUCUUUUCAUUAUUAUAUGUAAAAUCCCGUAACUUGUUCUCUAAAGAACAAGCCAUGUUUUAUAAUAAAAAGACGUCAAAGGUUUGUAAAAUUUUAUAAACUCUUUUAUAAAAUAUAAACCUUAACCUUUUGGUAGAAGACAAAAAGUCCUAAUGGUCCAUAAUCUUGUACAUGACUUAAUAAUUCAUACCAUAUGAAUUAUGUAAUGUUACUUGCUAAUGAAAAUUAUUAUUUACAUGAAAUAAAUAAUUUUCAAUUUAAAUAAUAAAAAGACGUCAAAGGUUUGUAAAAUUUUAUAAACUCUUUUAUAAAAUAUAAACCUUAACCUUUUGGUAGAAGACAAAAAGUCCUAAUGGUCCAUAAUCUUGUACAUGACUUAAUAAUUCAUACCAUAUGAAUUAUGUAAUGUUACUUGCUAAUGAAAAUUAUUAUUUACAUGAAAUAAAUAAUUUUCAAUUUAAUUAUAAGAGUUUAUUGAAGAUUUAUUAAAAUUAAUUGCUAAUAAAUAAUCAAUUAUAUCAGGUUGCUGUUAGUGUGACCCAUUAGUAUCAUAUGUUAAUUAACAAUAUCACUUUAAUAGGAUUCUUGAGCAUACUAGAUCUUUCAAGAGUUUCACGAGGAUUCAAAGUAAAUAAUUACCAGAUAUUUAUAAGGCUUUAACAAAAUUUUCAAGAGUUCCCAAGUGUUUUCCUUUGCGUCUUGAACAGUGAUCUUCCUCGAGUUUUCUAGAAUUUCGAAGCGUUUUAGUCUAUCAACUACCGAGGCCAAGUUCUUUUUGUGCAUCGGUCUAACCACUAUUAAAUAUAGGUGAUCAUUAUAUGUUUAGUUUUGGUUAGGCACAUGUACAACAAACUUAACUAAGGUGUUUGACCUAAUACCUUCCAUUGUAUUCUUAUUUGAGGCUUCGAGUAUUUCUAUAUAUAACUUUAUAUUUAUCAUUUAAUAAAUAUACCUAACCUAUGAGAGUAAGCCCUAGGCUAUAGUUGUUAUUUCCUAAGAAAGUACUAGUUUGUUGUAGCCAAUGGGCUAUGAUACAAAUCUAUCACAUCCCUAGCCGUUGGCCGAAACGAUGUGGUGCGCGACGUAAAUCAGUGAUCAUCGUCAUUGAACAUACAUUGAACAAUAGAAAAAUACAAACUUCUAUUAUUACCCAAAUAGAAAUUACAUUGUUGAUGGAUAAGACAACAUCACAAAAAACACCUAAUAAUUUUCCGUUUUACAAAGGAAUAGUGAAAUGACAGAAAGUAUUCUAUGGAAACUCUUCCUGCAUGUUGAUAAUCCUGAGAAUACAUGCAUUAGAUACAUCAACAAAAGAUGGUUGUUGAGUUCUAUAGGUUUUGAAACAAUGUAUCUUUAUAAUCAAAAAUAUUUUAUAAGAGUUUAUCUGGUUGAGUAUAUAUAUAAGUGUACUUUCUAACGAAAGUGUAAAACAAAACGAGUUUUAAAAGUGUUUUUGGAUUCUUAUAGAAAUACUGCUUCUUCAAAUCCAAAAGAACUAAACUUAAAUAAUAUGUAAGUAUUGAUGGGUUUCGAGCAAUACAUCAUUCCUAUAGUGUACAUGCAAACCCUAAUAGCUUUGGAUCUAGUUUUUCUAAUGAACAUGCAAUUGAUUAUCCAAAGCCAUAAACCCUAGAUCUAGAAAACUAUUAAUCAUAUUAACAUAAAAUAGGGUUUAGAUCUAACCUUUGAUUGUUAUAUAGCAAUAACAAUCAAUCCUUGGCUUUAGAAAGCUUAGUGCCUCAAGUGCUGCACCUCUAAUGGAGUCACAAACACCACUAUGCAACUUGGAUGAAGAGGGAGGAGAGAGGAGGCACCAAAAACGGCUGAAAACCCUAAUCCAAGUGUUAGCCACGUUUUUGGGUCUCAAGUGUUCUUUAAAUAGGUAGGCAAUUAGGGUUAUCUAACAAGGAAACCCUAAUUUGACUGCUUAAGCCCUAAGCAGCCCAUGGACCCCUUCUGGAACAUGCCUUGGACAAUUUCUAAUGGGCUUCCCCAUAGAAUUCGUCCAACCUAUUAUUCCAAGGUGAUCCAUAACCCAACUGCAAUUAUCUUAUAAUUAUAAUUCCAAUUCCCCUAAGUUUAAUUAAUCUCUUUUUGCCACAAAAUUAAUUCUUUAUUAAUUCUUGACUAAUAUUAAUUAAACAAUAUGAUUUCUCCUUUAAUAUAUUAUUCUCAUAAUAUAUUUAUAAAUCAUAAUUAAACCUUUCUCUCCUUAAUUCAUCCUACUUAUUGCUAUGGUGAAGGCAACCCAAAAUGACACUAAUCCAACAGUCUUCCACUUGGAUAAGUCUAAUAACUAUUUUGUAUAACUUAAGAACCUCAUUAGCAAUUGUAGCUUUCAAAAGCCGCUGUCAACUCUGAUCUUAUUGGAUAUGAGUGUCCUUUAGAUAAGGGAUCAUAUAUUCCUCCAUUCUCAAGAUAUCGUAUAGACAUAAGACAUGAAUUUUAAUCAUUCUCUCUAUACUGUUUCCCGACUUCCGAUUUAUGACAACUGACAACAGACUACAACUGAACACGUCAACUUAGUCUCGGCUUGGCCAAGCGCUUAGGUGUCAUCACUAAAUCAUCAAGGGGCCCACAAAUAUCGCUUUUAUCCCACUUUGGGCAAAAGGAAUGGAUAAACUUCGACUCGUAUGCUUUCUUGCAUUCACCGAUCGAAUCACACACAACAAUAAGUUUUUUAACACCAAGUUAUUAGUGCAUUUACUUAUUAUCAAUGUGCAAUCGACCAACAAAUAACAACUCACACGUCUCAGUUUCAAGAAUAUACAAUAUUAUCGUCUCACUAAUCACCCGUGAUAAAUCCAUGAAGUUAUCCAAGUGAGCGUGGGUUUAAUCCAAUACUCUAAUCUUAUCAAAGCACUCAUGAACCCUGCAACAAACUUGUGCUAUGUCUAGACUCUUCAGACAAUCUACAGACUCUUCAGGAUAGACUUCCUUCAUACUUACUUCCAACGUAUGAUCGACUGUAGAGGUUCGAAUAACCCAGUUAUUCUGGAAGUCAAAAGAGGCAAACUGAAACACAACAAUAAUACUUAAUCCUAUAUGGCCCCAAACUUGUGGGAGUAAAUAAAAUUCUUUUGUUUAAACACUAUAUUGAUUACUCAUUAUUCAAUGUUUACUGUUUCAGAAAAUCAACUUAUUACUCAGAUUACAACAAUAGUUGUCCCAUGCACAAAGCAUGCACACUAUGUUUCUUAUGGUCCUUACUUUGUGAAAUAGAUCAAUUGAAAAACUUUUCCAAUGAUGCUCAUUUCACAAUUCCCAAUCCUUAUUAUUAGUGUUAGUACACAAGGUUCUUGCCACUACUAGAAUAUGCUAGAUUCUAACAUUUUAUGCAACGAUCCUUUCGCAAAGUCAUAGCACAAAAGUCACCAAGACUUGGCCAAUGAAAUACAAAGUACUCUAUCAGAAAUUGUUACAAGACAGUUCCAUAGAUGUGAAGUCUCACAUUCAAAGUACAUUCCUUUGAACAUCCUUCUUGCAUAAAAUUUUCUAAUCUAGACAUAAACUCUCAAUAUCCAACUCCCAGUAUGGAAACAUUUCCAUAUUUUCCAUAUAACAACUCAUUCUUAAUAGAAUCUUAUCUAUUCAUAAUAAUGUCGAUAUGUUCCAUCCAAUACCAUACUUCCAACUACUCAUAAGCGACCAAUCCUUAGCGAACUUUGGAUCGUCCUUUGAUAGUUGUUUAAUUAUUUUAGUCAAAACUGAUUCUAGUCCUUUUUCCCUCUUAAUGCGCUAGACAUUUGGAAAAUUUUAGAAUGGUUAAAUAUUAUAGCAUUUGCAAUCGAUCCUAUACCCGAAGCAUAUGGGACACGAUGCAUAAUUUCUUACAUAAAGACGUGAUACUUUACCACUCUUUUGCUAUAAUAUUUCUAAUUUCCAUGUUCUCACAAUUUUGAUUAUGAAAAGGGAUGCAGUAAUCAUAAUCAAAUUUUGAGAAUGCAAUUAUCCUUUCCAUAUAUAGAAUUUCCUCAUGCUGAACCAUUCCAACACAACAUUAAUNNNNNNNNNNNNNNNNNNNNNNNNNNNNNNNNNNNNNNNNNNNNNNUAUAUAUAUAUAUAUAUAUAUAUAUGACUAAAUUUGAUUAAAAUUCCACAAUCUAAGCCUUUAGAUUAUAAAUGAAGUAUAAUAUUCUCUCCCUUAAUUAUAGCAAAACAACUUUUCAACCCUUGCGACUUUGCAAAGUAUAACUCUUGUUUUCUAUAAUAUUGCUAACUUGCAACACUUACCAUAAUAAUCAUACAUACAUAACACUUAUGCUCCCACUAUCAUGAUGAUUAUUAUCAUAUAAGCAUAACACUUAUGCUCCCACUAGCUUUGACAUGUAUUCAGAAAACAGCCGAACUUCUAGAAAACAAUGCCUAUUGAAUUUCUGAAGUUCAUAUUUCUAAUACCAGAUGCUUCGAUAAACCUUUAUCUAAGCUUCUUAAACUUAUACACCUUUGCCUUAGAUAGAUUAUAUGUGUGUCUAAACAAUUCAGAACUUAUAUCAAUAAGUCCCAAAUGUUAGACUAAUUGCCAAAUCUCACAAUUCGACCAAUGGAAAUGGAUGUCGUAACCAUAAUCGAAUUUAAGAAUACAAUUUUCGCAAUUGCUAUCUUCUUAAAAUCUCUCUUAGUGAAAGCAUUUCCUCACAGUCAUUUUCAUGAAGGAGGAAUCUAAUGACACUUAGAUUUUAUGGUGUAUGAGUUCCUAUCCAUGUGAAUUUGCCAAAACCAAGUUUGCGACAAAUGCAAACUCAUAUGGAUUGAACUUUCUUGAUUUCUGGAUUUAUGGUAACACGAGUGCCCACCAUGUCUUCCAAAGCAAUUUAGCAACUUAUCCUUACAUAUCAAUGUACUUUCCAUCAAUCAAGGCGCUUUAUCUUUAUGCAUUCAAAUGAGAACUCCUAGAACUCACAUACAUAAUUAAGUCAAUUGGAAUGGCACAAGAAGAAAAUAAUGUCAACACGAUAGGUUGAAAACCUCAAGUCGUAUGCUAGUGAUGAUUGAUAAGGUUUAUUCUUGAUUUGUUCUUGAAACAUUUUUCAAGAUCAUUGCAACUCCCACUGACCUCUUGACACAUACAAUUCUAUUGUUAGGAAACAUUCCUAGACAAAAAAAAUAUAUUCAAGAGUUAGUGUAGUUCUUGUCUAGACAAAACACUUCACAUAAUUGGUUGUAGUUGGUCUUUGUCUCAUCCAAGACAGCACAACUUACCAAUUUCAAAUGUGCAAGAAUAAGAAAACUUUUCCAAAUUCUACAUUUGUUGAGUGUUAUAAACCUACUAAAUACAUGUCACUCAAUUUGCAAUCUUGGAGUAUGACUCCAAGAUUCGAUAUUGGAAUGAAGUAUGAUUGACUUCUUGAUUUAACCAUUUCCACAAUUCCUGAUUCCUCUUCUUAGACAUACUAAAGUACUAAGACUCACUUAGAGGACCAAUUGAGAUAUGGUUCUUAAUCAUUAAGACUUUAUCAUAAAACACAAUAAAAGCUACUCUCCCUUCUUCUUAGAAUAGAGAAACUUUUAUCUUUCUGCCUACUUGAUCCUUCUUUAUUCGUUCUGCUAUUCAUUGAAAAUCCUUCAAUCAACUCAGAGUUACACUUAUUCUUAUAAGUAUAAUCAUAUUUACUAAACUUUAGUAAAUCAUGACGAAUAUCUUUAUCACUCUUGUGGUGGACUUGAUUGAUGCACAACAUUGCGAACUCAAUCUCCUAGUCCUUUACUUGACUCUUUGUCAAUGAAUUAGCCUUGAAUUUCCAAUUAUAAAGUUUCUCAUCCAUCACACAACCAAGUUGUAUGAUUCCAAGUUUUUGUCCAAUUGAAACUUGGGCGAUGAGAAACUCUCCCUAUUUGGAAAAUUCUCGACAUUUCCACAAAUAUCAUAAUUAAGAAGAAAAUCCAUUAUUGCAAAUAAUAGAAACCUUCAAACAUUAAUUUUUCAUACAUGCCAUUGCAAGGAUAAAUAAAUUAGAUAAAAUCAAAAUUUCUUUUAUUGCGGGAAAAAUUUGUCCUUACAAUGCAAUUUAAUUGAAAACUAUGUUAUUACAUAUUUCUUAGCAAUCUAUUCUAACUCCAAGUAGUAGCUUAAGAAUCCAAUCUUCAAGCAAUGCGAUCGAAAUCCAUUUCUUCACGAUUAGAUUCAGCUCACUUCUUCCCUUAAGCUUCCUCUCUUUUCUUAGAUCCAACAAAACAUCAAAAUGUAAUCUUAUCACAUCAUGUAUUAAGAAUCUAGAAUAGGAACUUAAAAGAGUUUGUUAAUGGAUUUUACCUGAAGUAGAGCCAUACAUCUUGACUCUCCCAUCUCUUAGAUCUCUCAGGUAAAUAGGAUAGCUUCGUCUCUAAUGCCCCUUCUCUUGGCAAUAAAAGCAAAUGAACUCUUUUGGAAUGGCACAAGGAACUAUCUCAGAAUUUACCUUUUCUGGAUCUCCAAUGUUACCAUUUUCAAUGUCCAUUGAAGUUUGGGAGUUUCAUUCACCAGACAAAUUUGCUUGACCAGCAUGCCAAAUCAUUGCUGAUUCAGCAGCUAUAAGCAAAUAGGUGAGAUCAAUGAGGGUCACGUCGUGAUCCAUCACAUAGUACCCUUUAAUGAAAUCACUAUAUGAUUCAAGAAGUGACUGAAGAACCCAGUCAACAGCCAACUCCUUGGGGAUGACAACACCAAGCAUACCCAACCUGUCAAUGUGGGACUUCAUCUCUAAGACGUGUGCACACACAGACUUUCCAUCUUCGUGCUUAAUUGCCAACAGGGCUUGAGUGAGCUUGAACUUUUCAAGCCUUCGAACUUGUGGGUUAGGGAGAACAAUAGGAGGAGGUGGAGGAAGCAUGAUUUCUUGUUCCUCGAUCAUAUCAUGGAAUAUCAUCUUCGUUUGGAAAACUUGUUCCAAGGGAUUUAGGAAAACCAUAGUUGUUUGACAUCUACAAAACGGGAGAAAAUUCAAGUUAAGUUGAUUGAGUCCUUAAUAAAACACCCAAAUGAAUUAUUAAGUCUAGUAUCCAACACAAUACUCUACAACCUAGAAGAGGGAUGUCGUAAUCUAGUUGCAGAAUAGUUGAAGGUAGGUAAAUGAUGAUUUACCAAUUACCACCAUGAAAAACGAAAAUGAAGUUUAAGUUUUAAAUGAAUUGAAACUCCUAGAUCUUUUGAGAUUCAUUGAACUUUUCAAUGGCAUGUUUAAUCUCGAUUAUGCCCUUCAAAUUUGCGACUGGGAUGCCGAGGAUCACAAACAAGGUGUGAAUAACCAUACGAAUCUACGUGGUGCACUCAAUGCUACUAUCACCUAAUCAAUGUGCCGGUUAGCCACACACGCUCCAUUGAUCUAUGACAAACAUCGAGUCACCCUCCGCUACUAAUACAAAACCCAAAUUAGUGUGUCGGUUAACCACACACGCUCCACUAACGUCUCGGCAAGGGUGCAAAGUGUCAUAACAUGGAUUAGCAUACAAUUUUACAUUUUGCCUAAAGUAACUAUGAUUUGGGAAUUUGAAAAAUAUUUAGUUACUUUGUACUUCAUUAUACUUAUAAUGGAAGGUUUCGUCCUAUCCUACCCGUUCGACUAACGACCCUCCACUAGUCAAGAGUGCGGUGUGUAAGAGUGGAUACCCAUUCAAUCGCCAUUUUAUAGGCAAUUUCAUUAAACACCCCUUAUAGACUAGCUUCGUGAAUGAGGCCUACUAACGGUAAGACUGACUUUUUAUUCAUACAUAUAUAUAAUAUUAGACUUUUAAUGUUAUAUAUAGUAUAGGGUGUAUUUUACACUUUUUAAAAUACUAGGUGGCCAAAUUUAAUAAAUUAUACUUUUAAUUUAAUUAAAUGUAAACCAAAACAUUAUGGGUUUAUUAAAUCGCUUUUAAUUAUACACCUUAAUUAAUUAAUAAAACCAUAACGGUGUAAUUUGAACUUUUCAAAAUACUUGGGUCUUAGAAUUUAAAAUUUUCAAAUAAAGACUUUUAGUUAGAUUUUAAAAUGCAAAACUUGAGGGAAAGUUUUGAAACUUUUCAAAACAUUAGGGUUUAACUUAUUUAAAUUUCAAAAACAUAAUUUUUAAGUUCAAAUUUAAACUACAAAACUUAAAGGGUGUAAAUUGAAACUUUUUCAAAAUUACUAUGUCAAAUAUUUGUCAAAUAAUAAUCCUAUAUUAUCCAUAUUUAACCAAAUCCAUCAAUUUUGACAAGGAUAAACAUUCCAAACAUAAAAAAUCGAUUUUAGGCAAUAAAAACGAGUUUCGGUAAUUAUCCCCAUCAAAAUAUGGCCAGAAAAUCGAAAAUCCCGGCAACAGAACAGGUAACUCGUCGAGUCCUCUUUGGAACUCGUCGAGUUCAUGCUACUCGUCGAGUUCUUAGAGCAACUCGGCGAGUUCAUCAAACAGUCAGCCAAAAAAUUCGAUUUUCACAUCAAACAAGCAUCAAAUUCACUAACAACCAGCCCAAGGCUCUGAGACCAUUGAUGAGUUUCGAGCAAUACAUCAUUCAUAUGGUGUACAUGCAAACCCUAAUAGCUUUGGAUCUAGUUUGUCUAAUGAUCAUGCAAUUGAUUAUCUAAAGCCAUAAACCGUAGAUCUAGCAAACAAUUAAUCAUAUUAACAUAAAAUAGGGUUUAGAUCUAACCUUUCAUUGUUAUAUAUCAAUAACAAUCAAUCCUUGGCUUUAGAAAGCUUAGUGUCUCAAGUGCGGCACCUCUAAUGGAGUCAUAAACACCACUAAGCAACUUGGAUGAAGAAGCAGGAGAGAGGAGGCACCAAAAACGGCUGAAAACCCUAAUCCAAGUGUUAGCCACAUUUUUGGGUCUCAAGGGUUCUUUAAAUAGGUAGGCAAUUAGGGUUAUCUAAUAAGGAAACCCUAAUUUGACGUCUUAAGCCCUAAGCAGCCCAUGGACCCCUUCUGGAACAUGCCUUGGACGAUUUCUAAUGCGCUUCCCCAUAGAAUUCGUCCAACCUAUUAUUCCAACGUGAUCCAUAGCCCAAUUGCAAUUAUCUUCUAAUUACAAUUCCAAUUCCCCUAAGUUUAAUUAAUCUCUUUUUGCCACAAAAUUAGUUCUUUAUUAAUUCUUGACUAAUAUUAAUUAAACAAUAUGAUUUCUCCUUUAAUAUAUUAUUCUCAUAAUAUAUUCAUAAAUCAUAAUUAAACCAUUCUCUCCUUAAUUCAUUAUACAUAUUGCUAUGGUGAAGGCAACCCAAAAGGACAAUGCUCAUAAUCGGGUCAAGUACAUACCAAAAUAGUUAUGGACUUAGACACUUAUCAAACAAGUAUUGCAAACUUAUAUCAAUUAUUACAUUUUCUAUGACCGAAAUUGUAUCUUUUAUAAAGUUUUUGAAUAAAAAGUUACAUAAAAUAAAGUCAUGUUAUAUUUUUAAAAGUAUAUAGAAAAGAAAAUACCAACUUCACCCUCGUAAUUACGUAUAAGUGAUUGUAUUUUUAUUCAUAUAACUUAUUAAUUACAAGUUUAUAAAUGUUGUAUGAUCGUGUCGUAGUAUUUAUUUAGUGUCAUCUUACUUAAUAUGGAAUUUGACACUCUAUCAGUAGAGCAAAAUUCUCCUACUACUUACUAUAUAAAUUCCAACCGGUAAGAGUGAACAAUCCUCGUAUGAAUUCUAUUCCAAUUUAAUACGACAACAAGCAAACUCAAGGGUCUAUAAUGAGCUCAUAAUCAAACUAUGACACAUCAACUCUACACCAGAACUAAAAAGGAGCAUGCUGAAAUUCCACACCGACAUUUUAUCAACAUCGUGGAAUAAGAGAGACGAAAUGUUAGCACCCAAUUCUACCCGUCGUAUAAAUCUAAGCAAUUGAUCUAAUAAAUGUCGCUCCCCAUUCCAUACAGAUUAACAGUUAUAAAGCAGAGGAUUUUUACUAAGAUUUGUUGUAACAACUGGUAAAAAUUGGUCAGAGUCCUGUGGUCAAACCACCGCGAACCAUUAUGCAAUAAAGACCAAUUGCGUGGAAUUUUUAUGUUUAUAAAAUGUAUUAAAUAGCAUAUAUUCAUAAUUACUUUGGGAACUUCUCAAACUGCUCAAAACAUUUAUCAUUGAGAAUCAAAUUGAAAAUCACUCAAAGUUUAAUUUAUUUGUGGCGUUAAAAAUGAAUUUUUGAAACAAAUCUACUUGAGAGACAUGGAUAAGAUAUUUGAAUAGGUUAUGUUCUCAUGAUUUCCUGGAUAUAAAGAAUGAUCAAAACGAAGCUCGUAUAAGAAUGUUACGACUCUUUAAAGUUAUAAAAAUCAGUAUUUAUUUGAUUUACAACUAUGACAUUGUCUUUUGAUGCUUUGAGUGAAGCAUAAUUGAAACUAAACAUUCAACAAUACAACUAUAGCAUCUAUAUUUAUAUUUUCAUUACCACAUCACUCAAUAAUACAUAAAAUACAUGCUUAUACAUAUACAAAACUACAUGUUUUUUUUACAUACACAAAUACAUGAUUAUACAUAUACAAAUACAUAUAAUAUAUACAUCAAUACAUAGAAUGAUUGAAGCAUUACAUUACUUCUAAAUCUAUCUAAGAGUACAACCAAUAAAUGAAAUUGACAAUUAUGUUUCUUCUACUCUUCAGCUUAUCCAAGGCUACACACAAUUGAAAACCCUUAAUCUUUGUUUUAUUAUUGUUUCUUUUCUCCAAUUGUGGCUGUCCAAAACCAAAAACCAAAGAGUCAGCAACCUUUUCUUCCAUAAAACCAAAGAGUCAACAACCUUUUCUUCCAUCUUCUUCUUUCUUUCUUAUUUGAUUGUGGCUGCCAAGAAACAACAUGAGGCCAUCAACCUCUUCUUUUGGUUCUUUUCUUACUCAUUCCCUGAUAAUCAAAACAAAGCCCAUAUAUCCAAUCUUUAAUUAGUUCCUAUCUAAACAAUCAAAGAAGAAGAAGUUUUGCUGUUCUUGUGUCUUAUCUGAUUAAUUGAAACAAACCUCAAACACCCACCUGCUUCAGAUUCGUUCACCCCUCGAUGGUGAAAUGCUUACUACCGGAUCGGAGACAAGAGCAACAAAGGGAAACUGCCGGAACAGCCUCCCUCUCACCACCACAGAUAACAGCAAAAGUCGUUGUUGCCUCCUUAUUACCUUCGCAAAUCGCCGCCGAAGAGCCGACUCUUGCCCUUAUUCUUUCUUCAAUCCGAUUGAGCACCAGCGGUACUCCCUCCGAUCGGCGAUAGUCGCCGCCUCCACUCCCUGGUUCCAUUCGCAGAUCGUCACCGGAGAUCCCUUCUCCCUUCGGUUCCUCGACGCCGAUGAUGAGAAAUAACCUUGAGAAGGUUCGCUAGAGAUUGGCUACUCAUCCCCCUUGCUAGACAGAUGAACCACCGAACCACCCUCCCUUGAUUGUUGUUUCGAUUUCUCGUCCUUCCCUCGCGUCUUGUAACUUUUGGACUUUUAAAGCUAAAUCACACUCAAAAGUCAAGAAAGUGUGACUUUUUGUAACUUUUGGACUUUUAAAGCUAAAUCACACUCAAAAGUCAAAAAAUACUACCCAAACACUUUUUAAAACCCACUUUUGGCUUUUGUUUCCUCAAAAGAACUUUUACAAAAAGAUCUUUUACUAAAAGUUCUUUUAGACUUAAAAAGUUUUCCCAAACACCCCCUAAUGGAAACGAGGGCACCAAAAUAAAACCAUGAUCCCUUUUAUUAGUUUGAUGGAUUUGGCAGAACUAACCCUCCUGGUGUAUCUUUUAAUCCCAAACAAAUCCAUUUUCAUAGAUAGAUCCAAAAUGGUCAAUGUUGGUUAAUUUAAGUUACUAAACAACCCUCCACUUGUCGAGUUAUUGCCAAAACAGUCCCACCAGCCUUGUGAUUAAUCUGAAACAGCCCUACACUUUUCAAGUAAUACCGAAACUGCCCCUUUUGUUAGUUAAGUGAUAAAAAUAGUUAUGGUGGUUUGUUUUAAACUCAAAAAGUGUCAAGAUGCGGUUUGUCACGACAAGCUUCAUGAAGCGAGCCUAGAUCGAGAUCACGCAUCGAAUGUGAGUUUUUACGACCCCUCUUUUACAUUUUUAAUUUUGGGGGAGAAUACAUGAGUGUCUAUUUAAAGCUUUGAAGAUUUUCAAGUUUUAUACAUAAAAUAACAUUAUACUUUAUUAUUGGUUAAGAUUUUAUGAAAAUAACAAUCUAAAAGGUUUAAAGCAUUAAUAAAUUAUAUAAGUAUUAGUAGAAUGCUAUAAAUGAUAUAAUUAUACCUUGUUGUGAUAUAUUAAUUAAUAUUAAGAAAAAUCACAAGAUUUUAAGUAUUUUGAUACGAAAAUAUAAGUUAUUUGACGAAUCAUAAACUAUAAUACUUGUCGUAUACAGGAAAAAUAUUGAGAAAUCCUAAUAAAACAUUAUAUACACAACAAUAUAUGUUAUUCGAUAUAAUCAUGUACAAAGUAAAGGUACAUUUUCUUAAAAGACUAUAAAUGAAGAUUUGACAAAUAUAUAAUAAUUAAUUGAAACUAUACCAAAAAUAAAUUAUUAUGAUCAUACUCCCAAUCAUAAUGUGGAAAUGAUUACUAGGUAAACAAUAUAAUUUAUCUUUAUAAUUAUUAUAAAAAUAUAAAUCAUUCAGUUGUGAUCCGAAGCUCAUCACAUAUGAUAAUAUAAUUAAUUCUCAGAUUUUUGGGGAUUAUUACCUAUUAAAUUAUAUAUCAUAUAAAUUAUGCAACUUAUCGAACAUCGACAUAAGUGAGUAUUCGGCUACGCGAACGAAUAUCCUCCUUAUCGGCUGAAGUAAGGAACUACUCAAAUUAUUGUCGCCACAAUAGUCGAACGCUACGUUCAUUUCACUAUUUAACUAAUUUCACUAAGCUUCGAAAAUCUUAAUAAUCUAAGAUUCGCGUUAGUGACCCUAGUGAACGACGAAUUUUAUGAGUUGAAGAACUAUCAUCAUGGAUUUUGUGGAUUGUGUAUCUCGUGUGUGUUUGUGGGGGGAAUGUAUCAAAAGGGGUGAAAGAGAUAGUUUUAUGAUGGUGUAUUUUUCAUUUGUAGGGAUCAAAUCCUGGAAUCGACACCUAGCUCUAUAACCGUUAAUCCAGGAGGAAUCAUAUACCGUAGGUCUAUGUACACGGCAUAGAUUUAUAAUAAAUAUAUUUCUUAUGGAAAGAUUUAUGUGAAUGGUUAUUUUCCGUCUGUGGUUGCUAGCUACAACUUCGUCUGACGAGGCAACAUGCGUCAAGUGUUUCUUUCUUCGUUACUAUACGACUGCUUUUAAACGUUAGUAAUGAUCUCGAUUCCUCCAUUUUUAUUUAUAUUGUGCCUAUGUGGCUUGUUUAUUGUGCCUAUGUGGCUUGUGGAGGAGCGACGAAUAAUGUCGGUUAUGGGAUAUAUUGAAGAUUUUUAUUCGAAGAUGUAUAGAUCUAGAUUGAGUCAAUUCUCCUAAUUUGGUCCGAGUGUGUAAGAGUGUUUAGACUGUUAACUACCUCUCCCUACGACAUAAUUCUCCAUAAGCAGAGACGUUUUAAAGAAUAGAAUUGUAAAAAGAAUGGUUAAUAUUUGUCGUUGAAAUUAUACGAGUGGUAAAAAUAUGUGUUUAUAAUUUACAGGUUAUUGAAAAGUAUUUUGGGAUGAGUUUGCCCCACUGGUUAAGUGUCGAUUUCCAAAUUAAGUAAGAUAAUGCUUAAUUAAUAAUACGACACGGAUUUACAAAGUUUAUAAAAUUUGAAACUUAUGAGUUUUACAUAUAAACUAUACGAACGUUUGUACACAGUUUUAAGAGUAAAGUUUACUAUUUUAUGUUUACAUAAAGUGUGAUAUGACUUUAUUUAUAUAAAUUGGUUUUCAAAAUCUUUAUAUAAAGAGCAUUUCGGUCAUGAGAACCGUAAGAAUUUGUUAUAAGUUUGGUUUACUUAUAUAUUUUACAAAUGGUGUAUUUUUGGGUUUGAGCAAAUGACAUUUCUAAAUGAGUUUAAAUAUACUUUUAUGACUCAAUUAUUUUAUACUUUCGAUAGAAAAAUAUGUGUUUAUAAAAGCUGUUCAACCAGAUAAAUUUUAUAAAACAUUUUUGGGUGUAAAAAUACUCUGUUUCAAAACCUGUAGAACUCACCAACAAUUUUGUUGACGUAUCUUAAUGCAAGUAUUCUCAGGUUAUUUAUAAGGUCGGAAGAGUUUUUACAGAAGAUUCUCCGAUAUUCUUAUCAUACAAAUGUGAACGUCAGAUUGUUCGGCAUGUGUAGCGUUUCAACAUUCCAUUUCGGUAUUAUAUUUGUACUGUUCAAUAUAUGUUCAAUAACUGUGAUUACUGGUUUACGUUGCACACCUCGGCGUUUUUGCCAUCGGUCGAGGGUGUGACAUUUGUAGUCUUAGCUUAGAUAUAAACAUAACUCAUAUAGAUUACGAAAUGUACAUAGCUCAUAUAGGAAAAACUCGUGUACGUUCGAUCCAAACAAUGUGCGUAGGCAUCUUAGUCCAAAACUUUCAGUUAUAAGUUUAUCAAACUAUUAUAAUCGUUUAACGUUUAGGAAAAACGAUGGCUUAAGUAUUAGAUUUUCUAAAUUCUACAAGACUUGACAUUUCUGUAAAUUAACUUAAGUUUUGUGAAAUAAUUCGGACAUCAUGACGAUUGCGUUCCGAAUAAUUUCUAGGUUUUAAUAAAUGCGAAACCCACAAUCCCAAUAAAUAUACAAGUAUAUAAAGCAUUAAAAUAUAUCAAUCGAUAUAACAAUGUUCUUUCAUAACCUUUUGAUAUCUAUAAAUUUUAUCACGAUGGGAGAGCUUGUAAUAUGUGUAUAUGAUACUGCAUUUUUUUGUUAUUUCAACAAAAUAUAGAUAACUAUGGAUUUGUACUAAAACAUAUGCUUAAACCAAUCCACGUCGUUUUUAGGUACAUCAAUAUAUUUGUACAUUUUAAAAAGAUAUAUAAUUGAUCUUUUUCAUUCCAUAAUUUAACUCAAUUCAAUGGUGUUUAUUAAAAUAAAAUUAAAAGAAAAAUAUAAUUGGAUUUUUUUGUUUAUAUAUAUAUAUAUAUAUAUANUCACUUUACACUCAUAAUGUCUCCACCUUUGGGGUUUUUAGCCCUAAAAAGGGCACAUACAACAACAACCAAAAGAAGAGGAAAGUUUUGAACUUUAUACCUCCAAGUGUAGCCCUUUUCUCUGUAGAUCUCAGAUCCAAAAUGGCACCUUAGGGUUUAGCUUCCAAGAACUCCCUUCCUUUUUCUUCACCAAGGCACUAAAGCACCAAGAAGCUAAAAUCAAUACUCUCACACACUAAGGACGAUAGGGCUCUCUUUUAGGGUUUCACUCACUGAUAUGGAGGCUAAGGAAUGAGCCAUAACACCCUUUAAAUAGUGCACAAGGUGGAUUAGGGUUUUUGCACCUGGGCCGGGUACGCCCGGCAUAACUCUAGGUACGCUCAGCGUACCUUGGCGACUCCGCGUCCAAAUUAAGCACAUGAGUACGCACAGCAUACCCCUAUGGUACGCCCAGCGUACUCACUUGCUGCAAUCCCACCACUCAAGGACUAAACAUGGCCAAUCAAUAAAGAACAAGGAUGAAAGGAAUAUACCUGAAUCUCGGGUGUCAUAUUCAUAUAAUCUUCAUUUAGUCUUUUGAUAACUAGAUCAUAACAAAUGUCAAAAUCAAAGAAAAAAAAUUAAUAAAUUUUAUAUGUCAAUUAUUAAAUAUAAUGAAUAAUAUUAUAAUAAAAAAUUAUUUUCCUACAAAAAAAAUAUACGUNCUCUAUCUAUAUCUAUAUCUAUAUCUAUAUCUAUAUCUAUCUAUCUAUCUAUCUAUCUAUCUAUAUAUCUAUAUAUAUCAUAUAAAGCUAGUAUUUUUCCUUGAAUCUCAUGCAUUUGAAACUCCCAAGACCAUUCAACUUGUAUAAUCUAAUUUAGGAUUAAUUGAAAUGUUGUGAUUUGUAACUUCCAAAACUCUUCAAAUCAUGUUAUUUAACUGACGAGUUAAAUGAAAUAUGUAGCAUAUAUAAGAAGAUUAUAGCUUGCAUAUUGCAUGUAUGUCAACUUCAAAUGAUCGAUUAUAUUAGUAGAGUUUGAAGAUUUAUGUGAGUGGUUCUAUGAAUGUAAGAGAGCAAUUACAAAUUUUCCAAAUGUAAAUGAAAAUUUGGGGCAUGUAAAGUUUUAUAUGUUAACCAAGCUUCAAAUUUGGGUAUGUGUGUAAAAUUAUACUUGAGAAAAAAAAAAUUAUUUUAUGUGUUACGGAUCUUUUUAUAAUCACAAGAUGAUGAAUUGAGACUGAUAGCUAAUUCUCAUGAGCUUUUGGUAAAUCAACCUUAAAGUUAUUUAUUAGCUAGAGCAAUUAACUUUGUCAACAUGUAUGUAUAUUUAUGUCGUCUUUCUCUUUUAUGUUAAGACAAUCAAUUUUUCUUUCCAAGAGAACAUUAUUUAACAUGUAUUUUAAGUUAUCAGUUACAUACUAUGUUAGUUUUUAUAGUUUAUUUUGUUGUAAAUAAUGUUGAUGGAACUUUUGAUAAUUGAUGGUGUUAAAUAUGAUAGGUUUUAUUGUUAAAACCCAAGGAUUAUUGAUGUGUUAUAAAAAUACCUUCAUGAUGUUCUCGCAAAAUUUAUAAACUUUGUCAACAUGUAUGUAUCUUUAUGUCGUCUUUCUCUUUUAUGUUAAGACAAUCCAUUUUUCUCUCCAAGAGAACAUUAUUUAACAUGUAUUUUAUGUUAUUAGUUACAUACUAUGUUAGUUUUUAUAGUUUAUUUUGUUGUAAAUAACGUUGAUGGAAAUUUUGAUAAUUGAUUUUGUUAAAUAUGAUAGGCUUUAUUGUUGAAACCCAAAGAUUAAUUAUGUGUUAUAAAAUACCUUCAUGAUGUUCUCGCAAAAUUUAUAUGUAUGUAUCCAUUUUUUAAAUGUUUUAUAGUAAUAAAAAUGAGUACUCUAUUAUAUCUUAUUACACAAGUCAAUUUUCUUUUUCUUAUUCGUUGCUCACCAUAAAGUUAAAGUAAAAAUAAAGAAAAUAUUAAUACCUUUAUAAGAAAACCAGGCGAAUGCCCGUGCGUUGCGCAAAAACACCUAUAUAGUUAAAAUCUUUACAAAUAUAUGUUUUUUAAAACAUAAUAUUAAUGUUGUUAAAUUUGAUAUAAUAACCCGUAUACUAAAUUGAUAUAACAUAUUGAUUAUGUUAAAUUAUAUAAUAAUAUAUACAUCUAUUAUAACCGUUUGAAUGACUUCUACCCGCGAGUUACUCAUGAAUAAAAUUAAAUAUAACAUAUGGUUUAAUGUUAUUUAUAGUUGUCAUUGUUAAUUAAUUUUUUGGAAAUUUAUUUCUUUACCGUUUUAAUUUAUGUCAUUGUAAUUAUUUACAACAUCAAACAUUGUUUUUUUUAUUUUAAAAGUAAAAUUAUAAUCAUUUAUAUAGAGUUAUAUUUAACUAAUGUUAUUGUCAGUUACUUUAAGCUACUUAUUUGAAAACUUUUAACGAUUAUACAAAUAUCUUUAGGAAAUAUUUUAGUUAAAUUGAGAUUAUAAUUCAUUUUUUGCAUUUAACACUACAAUUUAUCAAUUUUAACUAUUCACAAAAUAUUCAUUGAGUUUUCUAGGUGGAACUGAAAUUUAUAUUUAAGUUGACACUUUAAUGUUAUAUUAUAAAUUAACAAUUUAAGUAUAUUGUCCAAACUAUUCAAAAGUUGUAGCUUCAAAUUGAUAAUGGUUUACAUACAACAACAUCUUAAUCUAAUAAAUUAAGUAUAAUCUGUUAAAAAUUAAAGACAUAACUUUAUAAGUAGAAGUAAAGAUGUUAUUUUAAUAUUAAAACUUAGUUUAUUUAUGAUUACACUUCAGGUUUGAUAUUUAUUUAACCUUAUUAACCAACUUAAAAUCAUUAUUAGAAAGACACUAUAAUUUAUUAGUUUUAGUUAUUUACAAAAUAUUUGAGUUAUUUAAGUUAAACUUAAAUUUAUAUUUAAGUUGAUCCUGUAAUGUUAUAUUUAAAUUUAUAAUUUAAGUAUUUUAUACAAAUUGUUCAAAAGUUGUAGCUUUAUAAUGAUAAUGGUUUAUACCUAAAAUUAUAUUAAAACUAAUAAAUUAAGUAUAAUAUGUUAAAAGUUAAAAAACAUAACUUUAUAAGUAGAAGUAAAGAUAUUCUUUUAAUAUUGAAAUUUAGUUUGUAUUAUUACACUAUAUGUUUAAUAUUUAUUUAAUCUUACUAACCAACUUAUAACAAUUAUUAGGAAGAAAUUGAAAAGUCAUGGGAAUUUCAAAUGAAUCUGGUGAAAGGAAAAUGCAUGGGAGUUUCAAAUGAAUGUGGUGAAAAAAAAGGCUANNNNNNNNNNNNNNNNNNNNNNNNNNNNNNNNNNNNNNNNNNNNNNNNNNNNNNNNNNNNNNNNNNNNNNNNNNGAAUUUAAAAUCAUUAUUUUACUUGGACCCUUCAUUCCAUUCCAAUAUUUUAUAGUUUUAAGGACAAAAGUAAAAGUAUAAUACUAAAGUAUGAUAUUUUUUUUUUAAAUAUAAUAAUGAAAUUUUCCAAACAAAUAGUUUUUAAUUAAGUAAAAAUAAUAAUAGUUUAAAAUAAAGUAAAACUACAAAAUAGAUUAUAUUAUACUAAAGAAUGAUUUUUAUUUGAAAUAAUAAUAAUAAUAAUAAUAAUAAUAAUAGUAAAUGAUAUAAAAAAAAGACUUAAAUAAACUAUUUCGAAAUCAUUUAAAAAUAUCUAUAAUUAUUAUUAAAUUAAAAACUUUAUUUAAUUCAAUUCAAACAUAACUUAUUCUAUCUAUAUUAUCAUAUAGUUAAAAUAGUUAUAAAAUUAGUUACAACUUAGUGUAAGAAUCAUUAUUUUAAUGAUAAAUUUCAAUAAUAUUGUUAUUACAACAUAUAAUUGUUAAUAUUUAUAUUACAUUAUUGCAUACAACUCAAGUGUUUGAAACUCCUAUUACAACUCAAGAGUUUUCUAUUUUAAAUGUAGUUUUGUUUCGAAAUUUAAUGAAAUUAGUUGUGACUUUUAUUUUCCAUUACAUUCAAGAGUUUUUAAAUGUAGGUAACGAAGCUCGACUCAUCAUGGAAUGAACCAUGUCCAACAAGGUUCGAUUGCAACUCUCAGCCACACCAUUAAGUUGCGGUGUCCUAGGUGGCAUCAAUUGUGAAACAAUUUUACAUUCUUUAAGAUAGUCAUAGAAGUCAAUACAAAGAUACCCACCACCUCGAUCGGAUCAGAGCAUCUUUAUCUUCCUACCUAAUUGAUUCUCCACUUCUUGCUUAAACUCUUUGAACUUUUCCAAGGUUUCUAACUUGUGCUUGAUUAAGUAGAUAUAUCCAUAUCUGCUAUAAUCAUCGGUAAAGGUUACAUAGAAGCAGUUAUCAUCCCUUGUGGUAGAUCUAAAGGGUCCACACACAUCAGUUUGUAUGAGAUCCAACAAACCCUCACCUCUUUUACAAGUACCAGUGAAAGGUGACUUGGCCUUCUUUCCAAGCAAACAAGAUUCGCACGUGUCAUCCGACUUUAAGUCAAAUGACUGCAACACUGCAUUGUUUUGGAUUUGGGCUAUGCGCUUCAUGUUGACAUGUCCAAUACAACAAAGCCACAAUAAUGCCUUGUCUAAACCAUUGGACGAAUCAAUAUGCCAUACAUUAUUUCCUAAUUUGUUUACAAUCAUCACAGUUUCAUAUAUACCAUUACAAGGCAAUGCUUCAAAAUAAAAUUUACCAUUAUAAAAAUCAUUAAUAGAAUCAAUUUCAUUGUUAAAUGAAAAUCUAAAACCCUGUUUAUACAAACCAUGAAAAGAAAUAAUGUUUCUCGCCAUCUCUGACGAAUAGGAAUAAUCGUUCAAAUCUAAUUCUAACCUAUUACUAAGCAAUAAAGAAUAAAUCCAAUCUUGGUGACAGGCGACGCUUUCCUAUUCCCCAUGAUCAAGUCCAUCUUCCUGUGCUCCAUAUCCCUACUUGUUCUUAGACCCUGCAAUUCAGAACAAAUGUGAAAACCACAUCCUGUAUCAAGGACCUAAGAACUAGUAUGUGAUGAGUUUAUAGAUUGAAUAGUGUAUAUACCUACGAAGGUGGGCUUUAUCUUCCCAUCCUAUAUGUCCUGCAAGUAUUUAGGGCAGCUUCGUUUCCAAUGCCCCUUUUCAUGACAGUAGAGCAACUCUGCUUCCUUUGGAUUUGAUGAAGGAGUAGCAAAACCAUCUUUACACCUACUUUAAGAGGAUCCAUCAUGAGACUUUCCUUUUUGAUUCUUUGAAGGAGCUUUCCUUUUCUUCUCUUUCCUAUUUCCAAUUUCCAGGACUGGGGUAGCAGCAGUAGGAGUGGGUACAACAGACUUGCCAUUUAAACUACUUUCAACAGUUCUUAGAAGGCCUUAAAGCUUGCUUAGAGUGACUUCCUCCAUGUUCAUAUGAUACGUCAUCCUGAACUGAUCAUAACAUGGAGGUAAAGAGUGUAGGAUAAUGUCGAUUGCGAACUCUUCGUCAAAAUUGACGUUCAACUUUAGCAAGCGGUCCACAUAUCUUUGCAUCUUUCGCAAGUGAGUCGUGAUGGACUCUCCAUCCUUAAUUUUUUUUGUUAUCAUGAAGGCAAUGAUUUCAUACCUUUCUUUUCGAGCACUUUGAUGGUACGAUUCCAUCAAGUCUUGCUGCAUCUUGGAAGGCCAUAAGUCCUCGUAGGACUUUUGAAGCUCAGAAGUGAUAGUGGCUAGCAUGAUGCACAACACCUUUUUUGUGUCCUUCUCAUGAGACCUAUACUCAGCCAGUUGCUCAGGAGUAGCAGUUUCUUCAUCAAUAUCCUUUAGCUCAUUGUCGAGGAUGUAUUCAUUUUCCUCGUAUCGAAUGGCCAUGCAAAUGUUUUGAAUCUAGUCCUUGAAAUUCGACCCAUCGAGAAUGACCCUCCCACAUAGGUUCAUGAGGGAGCAAGAGCCGGAAGAGUUUGAGUUUGAAGCAUUGUUCGAGGUAGACAUCUGAAAAAGAAAGACAAGUUUCAUUAGAUAGAAAUUCCAUAAUAUAACACCCAAGUGAAAUAUUAAGGCUAGGAGCCAAACACAAUAAUUCACAACUUAGAAAAGGGAUGCCGUAAUCUAAUUACAAAUUAUUUGAAGAGAGGUAAAUGAUGAUUUACAAAUUUUCACCACCCAAAACCGAAAUUUACAAGAAUUAAGUUUUAUGAAAUUUCUAGAUCUUUGAGAUUCAUUGAACCUUUCAAUGACAUGUUUAAUCUUGAUUAUGCCCUUCAAGUUUGUGACUGGGAUACCGAGGCUAACAAACAAGGAGUGAAUAACCAUGCAAAUAUGUGAGGUACUCUUGAUGUCAUUCAUCAUCUAAUCAACGUACCGGUUAGCCAUAGACGCUCCAUUGUUCUAUGAUAAUUCUCGAGCUACCCUUAGCCACCGUUGUUAGUCCAAAUUAGUGUGCUGGUUAACCACACAUGCUCCACUAACGACUUGCCAAGGUGCAAAGUGCAAUUUCAUGGAAUAGCACCAUUUUCACAUUUUUACUAAAGUAACUAUGGUUGGGAAUUUAGAAAAGUAUUUACUUACUUUUUAUAAUUAUUAUUAUACUUUUGAAUGAGCAUUAAGGUCCUAUCCUACCCGUUCGGCUAACGACCCUCCACUAGUCAAGGAAGUGGUGGGGAAGAGUGGAUACCUAUUCAAUCGCCAUUUUAUAGGCAAUUUCCUUAUACCCCCUGAUAGACCAGCUUUGUGAAUGAGGCCUACUAACAGUAAGACUGACUGUCUUAUACAUAUAUAUAUAUAUAUAUAUAUAUAUAUAUAUANAUAUAUAUAUAUAUAUAUAUAAGUAUUAAGUUGUUAAUGUAUUAUAAUAGUAUAAGGGUUGAAUUUUAAACUUUUAAAGAUCUAGGGUUUAGAAUUUAAAUAUUUCAAAAUCAAAACCUUUUAAUCAAAAUUUUAAAUUCUAAAACUUGAGGGAAAGUUUUGAAACUUUUCAAAACCUCUUAGAUCAAAUUUGAAAACAAUUAAAUUAAUCAUAUAAUUUAUCUAUAUCACAAAAUUUGACCUAUUCUAAUUUCAUAUAGAAAGAUAAUUCGAAUCAAGUUCUACAAAUAAUUAAUUUAUCAUAUAAUCAAGUAAUUAUCUUAAAAUUUGACAAUUAUCCUCCAAUUGGAUGCGGAUAAUCAUUACCUUAUCAUAAACGAAUUUUAUCAGUCAAAACAGUUUAUGGUAAUGAUCCUAAUCCAAUUCUGGUAAAACAAACCCGAAAAUCUGCCAACGGAUGACCCAACUCGUCGAGUUAGUGAAUGGACUCGUCGAGUGGGCUCUACUCGUUGAGUCCUAUUAUGGACUCGUCGAGUUCAUCAUGCAGAGAGCAGAUUUUGAUUUGCUUCAGCUUUGAACAAUUAACCAAUGCAUCAAUAUAACAGUAAACACCCUAGGCUUUGAUACCACUGAUGGGUUUUGAGCACUAUAACAAUCCUAUGGUUUACAUACAACCCUAAUGCUUUGGAUCUAAGUUUUCUAAAGUUAUACAUGCAAUUUUCCUUUUAUCCAAAGCAUGAACUAGGACUAGCAUAAAAUUUUGAGAUUUAAAACAUAAAACAAGUUAGAUGAAUAUCUCUUGUUGUAGCUUGUAGAACUUGGCCUUUCAAGAGCUUAGUACCUCAAAUGUGAUACCUGAAAUAAGUCACAAACACCAAGAACAAUGGAGGAUUAGGAGAGAGACAUAGAGAGAGAGAGAGAAAGAGAGAGAGAGAGAGAGAGAGAGAAAGGCCAGGAGGCACCAAAAAUCGGCUAGGUUUUCUUAUUGGAAGUCUUGGCUGAUAUUGGGAGUGUUAGGGUUACAUUUAUAGUGUGGAAUUCCUAGGGUUUUAACUUCUAAACCCUAAUUCAUUUACUUAGGCCUUUAAGCAAUCCAAUAACUCAUUUGAUAGGCCCUUUGGACUAAAUCUUCAUGGACUCUCACAUAGAUUUAGUCCAUCCUAAUCAACAUGGAUCAUUAGCCUAAACUAUAUGUAUUAUUGAUUUACCUAAUCAGUCCCGGUUAAAUUAAUCAGUCUCUUUUGAUCACUAAAUUAAUUCCAAAUUAAAAGCUGAUCAAGACCAGUUAAAAAUUAUGAUUUCUCAAUUAAUAUAUUAUUCUUAUAAUAUAUUAAUAAAUCACAAAUAACCUCUUUCUCAAAAAUCCAUCCUAUCAAAUUCCUCUUGUGAAGGAAACCCAAAAGGACCAUGUUACUAUCGCGUCAAGUGCAUACCAAUUAUAGUUAUGGGCUUAGACACCUAAUCCAAAAAAAAUCCAUGGAGUGAUUGAGGUUUCUUUUUGAGUAUAUGUUAAAACUUGUGGCUCAUAAAACUCCUCUCUGUACCACUAUCGAAAAGUAUGCUUGCAUAUAAGUUAUUGAGGAGAAACGUACCUGUAACCAUGGUGGGAUUCUUCAUUUCCUCCUCAUGACCUAUUGCCAAAACCCUUCCUACACCUCCGACAUCUUUGUUCCUUGCCUUUGGGCACUCCCUCUUGAAAUGCCCCGUCUCACCACAUCCGCAGCAUGCUUGGCUCACCCCGACAUUUGUGGCCUGGGUGGUCUGUUGAGCUGGCACCCUAUAGAAACGGGUGGUAUGCCCAAUUUUGUUACAGUUGUUGCAAUGCAUCUCCCGAUAAGCUCCAUUGUGGUGCAAGUUUCACUUGUUGCAUUUGGGUAGGCUCCUAGCAUAUUGUUUCAUUGGUGUUGGGCAGCAGGGACAGUGACGACGUGGACUGCCACAUUUUGUUAUUUCUUUGUGGGCUCUUGUGUCGGUUGGCCCUUCUUCUUGUUCCAUAAUUUCCUUUUGCUCUCUCCCCCUUUUGUUUGUUCGAGGGUGGGCGUCGUAGUGCCCUGGCAGACUCCAUGAUCCACAAGCCUAUGAGCCAAGCGUUUGGCAUUGUCAAAGGUCGAUGGGUUUACAGAUACCACAUUUCGUUGAAUCUGGGGGGAUAGUCCCAAGAUAUAUUGUUCCAACUUUUUGCGUUCCGGGUGACCAUCCCGUGACAUAGCACCGCCAAGUUGUUGAACCUGGUAGUUAGGUUGUUACAUCGGAGCCCGUCAUCAUGAGGUUCCAGAGUUCUUGCUCCAACUUCUAAACUUCGCCUCUCGGGCAGUAUUCUUACAGCAUCAUGAUUUUUAUAUCCUCCCAACUCAUAGAGUUGGCCCACAAGCAGAAUUAGUGAUUUAACGUGGCCAUUCCACCAGGAGAGGGCCCCGUCAAUGAAUGUGCAAGCUGCAAACUUGACCUUGCUUUUUUCCGGGCACGAACAAAUUUCGAACAGCGAUUCUGUUUUCUCGAACCAUCUAGUCAGAUUAUUGACACCUACACUGCCAUGAAAACACUUGGGAUUGCAAUAAGAUAAGCCCUUGUAGGAGCAUCCUCUUCGAUGUGCAUGGUUUUCUCCAUGAUUAGAACAAUUGGUACCAUUUUCAUUCCCGUUUAUACCAUUAGUAUUGAUUUGUGCUUGAAUGCUGCCACAACGACUUGGAAGGCAGCGGAGUCCUCAUGUGGAGUUAGUGGCGGCUUAGCUCUUGGUGUGUUGCUGACACGUCUGUUGCUCCUGCGUGGUGGCAUUCUUCUUCCAUAAAGUUUAAAGAAUGGGAUUAUGUUAAGUCCUCGAUAAUGGUUACGAAUCGGGUAUUAUUAAAAUAGAACGUAUGUGUGAGAAUAGAGGUAUAAGAGACACAUAAAGAGUCUAGGUGUCUGGUUAUAUAGUAUCAUAAAAUACUCCUAUAGUAUUUCAAAUUUAUGUUUAGUUCUAGAGUUUCUUUGUAUGGGGUGUUGGUAUGUUUUAGACUUGUUGGUCACCACGACUAUUCCCAAGCAUAUGUUAGUCACAUCUCGGAUACAUAUAGUUGACCAGGCUAUAUUUAUCUAAUAUCUAAUUACAUACCACCUAGGCUUACUCGUACUGUUCAACUUAUCUUAUUACUUUUGUAUUGUUCUUGUUAUGACACCAUUCUAGUAUGUAUGUAUGUACUUAUACUUUAUAUAUAAAAACAUAUAUCAUUAUAUUUUACAAGUAUACUUGUAUGAAAUGUUUUAGUCAAAGGAUUUUAGCCCCAUUGUAUUUAUAGUUGUAUAUCUUACAUGGUUUUAUUUAGUUCACUAUAAACAAUUCUCUAAUACCAAUCUAUUACACCUCCAAACCAGGAUGGUGAAAACGUCUGGGGUGGAUGACUUCAUGAAUUGUAUCACAACAACAUGUAUAAUAGUGAUCAAAGCAAAAUACAACCAUAAUAAAUAUAAUCGAAAAAGUUACAUUGUUGUAAGAGUUGUAUGUUUCAAACGUAAUUACAAUAUGAUGAUUUAAAAUGACUUGUUUGAUGCCUUAGUGUCCCAUCCACAAAAGCUUGUAGUCACAUGCUUAAAGAUUUCCUGAGAAUGCAAGUAGUUUUGAAAAGUGUCAUCAAUUAAGUUGGUAAGUUCAUAAGAGUUUGUAUGAAGGAUUGUAAGUCUUUCCUUGUAAAAUGAUAGGGUUCGAUUCCAUAAAAUCCAAUAUUUUCCUUAAAAAUGGGUGUAGUCUUAGGAACCCUAAGAGCGAAAUGUACAAGUAUUUUAAUACUUAAAAUAGUAAUAUGUAGUUGUAAUCUUAUAUAAACCAUUGAAUGUAUGUUUCCCCGUAAACUAAAUGUAUCGUUGGUUUCCCCAUGUGAGUUAUUAUAACCAUUCAAAAACAUAGAUGGCAUGUACGACAUUCUUUAGGUAUUGGAAUGUUACACAUUUGUCACCCGACACCUGCCGGUCUAGUUGUCGCAACCAACUUAGGUGCGGGAUAUACACAAGUAUCACGCUCUCUUACGGGAGAUUAUGGUUAUAGUACAUGACUUUUGUAGGUACUCUGGUUGGUACGAUGAAGACUUUGACUCACAAAAAUUGAUCCAACGCGUUUAUGUUUUGUUGUAGUGAAAACAUUUGUAUGUAUAAUUAUCACUUUUCCAUGAUAAUAAAAUAGUAUAAAAUAAUUAUAUAAACCUUUAUAUAAUUAUCCGUCUUGUUAAAAAAUGUUACAAUAGUGUUAAUGUCCCAUAAACUAUACUUAUUAUAUAUAUAUAUAUAUAUGCGCUAACAUGCUUAUAUAUAUUCAUAAAUUACAAGUAUUUUACAUCUAGUACCAAUAAGUGAGUCAUUAGUAUGAAAAUGUCCAUUUUUCUGGUUUUUGACUUUUACGUCACAAAUGGUAAAUAGUGAAUAUAACUAUGUAAAACUUCUUUGUACCUUUUUGUGAUAUUUAAGUCAAGUUAAAUUUAUAUGCUUUAAACAGUAUAUUUUUGGUCAAAACCCACAAAAAUGGUACCAUAACCUAGUUGUGACAAUUUUUGUUAGAAAACUCACGUUUGCAUAAAAUGAUAAAUUGUAAGUUUUCUUUUUGUAAAACUAAAUCUUUGGUAUUUUUGAUUAGUUUCAAGCAAUAUGUUGCAAUUAACAUAUUUUGGUUUAUACCCCAGAAAUAUGGUGUAAUAACUUGGUUAUAACCAUUUUUGCUAGAAAAUCAUAUUAGGUUCAUAAAAACCAUAGUUUUUAUAGUUAUGUUUUUGUCACCUUUUUCUCAAGAACAUAUAAUUUGUUUAUACUUAUAUUUCAUAGUUUUGCAUUUGUAAACAAGAACACCACAUAUAAAUGUUCAAAUAACUAAGUAAUAACAUCUUUUCAUGCAUAUAAUACUUUUACACAAGUUAAAGAAGAAGCAUGUAUAAUAACUUGUGUUACUCCCCCNCCCCCCCCCCCCCCCCAAACAAAAAAAAAUUGGAAACCUUAAAAACGAAAGGGUAUGAACUUACCUUAUGUGUGUUUUCUUGGUGGAUAAGAGGUUGUAGAUGGAAAGAUUCAAGUUAAGAAUACUUGAAGAUUUGAAGAUCCUAUGAAUAGUAACACAUGAUAAUGUGUAUAAAUGGAUUCAAACUAGUUUAUAAGUGUGUAGUCACUAAAUACUUACCGAAAACUCAUGAACCACUUGGAAGAAUCUAGCUAUGGAAGAUGGGAGCUCUUUCUUGUAGAAGAAGAAGAAAAUGAUGAAGAUGAAUGUGAGAAAAAGGCCUUUCGGCCGUAAGUUAAAGAGAGAGGGGGAAGGAGGGUGUGUGUGUGUNNNNNNNNNNNNNNNNNNNNNNNNNNNNNNNNNNNNNNNNNNNNNNNNNNNNNNNNNNNNNNNNNNNNNUACUCUAGGGUUAAGUGGUUGCCCAUGUUAGAUGAAGGUACAACUUAAUAACUAGUGACUUUUUAUAAAAAAAAUAAAAAUCAAACCUUUAUAAACUCUUGGUAUUUUUAUAAAAUUGAUGAUGUUUUUAUAAAAGAAAUAUGGUAUAAAGGAUGCAUAAAAUAUUUAAUUUGAAUUAUAAAAAUUCAAAUUAUUAUAACAGUUGCCCAUGUUAGAUGAAGGUACAACUUAAUAACUAGUGACUUUUUAUAAAAAAAAUAAAAAUCAAACCUUUAUAAACUCUUGGUAUUUUUAUAAAAUUGAUGAUGUUUUUAUAAAAGAAAUAUGGUAUAAAGGAUGCAUAAAAUAUUUAAUUUGAAUUAUAAAAAUUCAAAUUAUUAUAACAAACAUUAUUAUCAAAAUAAUAAUAUGUUACAUGAAAGUUAGGUCGAAUUUCCAUGUUUAUUUCGUUAAAAAUUUGGUGUUUAGCCGGGUAUAGACUUUGUCGCAUUUGGUGACCAAUUCACCAAAAAUUAGUGUUUGUAGCAUUUGCUAUGAAUUUCCACACAGUGUUAGGUUUAUGAACUCCACUACACUGUGUUAGGAGUAUUAUUUAUUCCCAAAUAAUAUAUAGCUGAAUUAUCGAGUUGUUACGUUACUAACCCUAAUUAGGGUUUAUAUUUGAUAAUUGGCAAUCCAAAGAGGUAAUUUGUAUUAUAAUUUGUCAAUAAUACAUUAGAAACAUCAGGGGAUAUCAUAUUUCUCCUAAAUUUCUAAUACAAAUUAUGUUGACCUGUUUGACAUUUGAUGACUUUGUUUGACCAGAUUUGGUUGUUGCCACAGAGUGGUCUUCUCUUCGUCAAUCUCAGUUAGUUCUUUCUCAAGGACAUAAUCCUUGUACUCGAAACGAAGGGCCAUUUUGAUGUUGCACAUCCAUUCAUUGUAAAUGGUGCCAUCCACUGUCACAUUUGAGUAGACAGACAACAACGAGAAGUUUUGGUUGGAAGAGGAGGUAUCAGAAGCAUCAUUUGGAGUAGACAUCUGAAAAUGGAAGGUAGUUUUAGUUAGAUAAGCAUAAUACUUAAUAUAGAAAACCAAAAUAAAGUAUUAAGGUUAACAUCCAACUAUAAAAUUCACAAAUUAGAAAAGGGAUUUCGUAAUCUAAUUUUAAAUUUUAUAAAUGUAGGUAAAUGACGAUUUACCAAUUCCAGCAACAGAAAAUAGAAUUUAAAAGAAAUUAAGUUAAAUGAAACUCCUAGGUCUUUUGAGAUACAUUGAAACUAUUCAGUGACAUGUUUAAUCUCAGAUUAUGCUUUUCCAUUUGUGAUUGAGAUACCGGGGAUCACAAACAAGAUGUGAAUAACCAUGCAAAUGUGUUUGGUAACCUCAUUGUCAUUUAUCAUCCCAAUUGAUGUGCUGGUAAACCACACACGCUCCAUCAACAACGAUAAUUCAUGAGAUACCCAUUACCACUCUUUAUUAGUCCCCAGUAGUCUAUUGGUCAACCACACAUGCUCCACUAACGAAUUAUAAAGUGUAAUGUGCAAUUUCAUGAGUUAGCAUACAAAUUCACAUUUUUCCUAAAAUAACUAGAUUUGUGAUUUAAUGAAAACCGUCUAGUAACUUUUAAUAGCAUUAUACUUUUAAUGAGGAUUAGUUUUCCGAUCAAACUCGUUCGGCUAACGACCCUCUACUACACAAGAGAGUUGUGGGUAAGAGUGGACACCUAUUCAACGGUCAUUUUAUAGGCCGCUUCCUUAUACCCUCUUUAUAGCAUGGUUUCGUGAAUGAGACCUACUAUUGAUUUGACUGACUUAAUCUUAUACAUAUAGUAAUAAUUAAAAUUUUAAUUUUACGUAUAGUAUAAGGUGUAUUUUAAACUUUUUAAAAUACUAGGUUUUAUAUUUUAAAUUUCAAAAAUAAUAUUCAAUUAGUUAAAUUUAAAAUAAUAUAUAGUUUAUAAAAUGAAUCAAUUAAGGAUUAUUAAAUUAAUCAAUUAAUUUAACCCUAAUUCUUACCCCAUAAAUUAAUCAAUUGGAACUUGUCAUUUCAAUGCAAAUGAAAAAACUAUAUUUCUAGACAUUACCGAAGAGUAAUAGAAAUCUAUUAAAAUUAUCCUAACUAGUUAGCAAGGUUGUACAAAUCAUUUGACAAUAGCUCGACGGUCGACAGAUGUUAAGGGAAUAAUCGGUCUUGGCGAAGAUUAAUCAGGGACCAUAGAUUAUUACUAAAAUAUGAAAAUUAAUCAAAGCUUAAUAUAUUUAAGAAAAAUAAGUAGUUCAAAAUUGGAAAAUAAGAGAAUUUUUAAUUUGAAAAUUUGAAAAUAUCAACAUUUUGGUAUAAUAUUUGAAAUUUUGAAAUUUUAAAAAUUUUGGAGUAAAAAAAUUUAAUUUUUUGAAAUUGUUUUGACAUUGUUGACAUUUCUUUGACUUUUUUUUUACUGUUUUUUACAUUUUUGACUUUUGUUGACUUUUUUUGACCGGUUAAUCCCAUAAAUACCGAUUAAUCCCGUGAAACUAGAUUAAUCCCUAAUUUCUGUAAGACACACUAAUCUUAAUCGGUUGGAGAAUGACAAACGAUUCAUCUACAAUUAAUCAACGAGUACUCCCAAGUUUCUGCAACCAUGCUCGUUAGUAGUAGUUCCCAAUUCUGACCAUGUUUGUAUUUCACUUUAAUACUUAGGUUCACAGCUUUUUAGUGACAAUCUGUUGACUUAGUUGUCCUGGCCUCAUAGGUAAGAUCCUAACCGACUCUCUUCUCACGCAGUAUAUAUAUGAGAGUGAAUUACAUAGAGAGAGUAUCUUUUUCUAAUUAGUUCCUUCGUCAAUGUAUCGAACUAUUUUUCUCUCGAAUGAAUUGAAGAUCUUAUUUACUUUUUAUAUGUAUUUUGAUCUUUUUCCAUUCUCACUUACAUCAUUGUUUAAGAAUCUAUACAUUUCUAACAUAUGUUUAUGUGCGUGAUAUGUGUAUUUACUGUUUAUGGAAUGCUCCGUUUACUUAUAAUACACACACAUUUUGUUUAUUAGUAAGAAACGCAUAAUAGGAGUUCAGUCUUAGUUGGUGAUAGUACCCAAAAUCAACAUGAGAUAUUCUCGAAAUCUAAAAAAAUUAAAUUAGAUGUUGCAUAAUUUACAAUAAAUAAUGGUUUGUUGGUAUCAUUCAAUUUUAGCUUCUUAUAGAGAAUAUAACAUUUUGAUAAUAAAAAUUGUUUACUCGAUUGUUUAUAGUAAAUAAUGGUUUGUUGGUGUCAUUCACUUUUUACCUCCUUGUAGAGACUACAACAUUUAGAUAAUUGUGAUUACAACAAUUUGAUGAUGGGAUUUAGGUAAACAAACCAAAAUAAAACCUUAAGUUUGCAUGCCACCUAAAUAGGAUCUAUGUUUUCUCUAUUAAACCUAACUAAGAACAUCAAAAAGAAACUUGCAACACCCUAGGCUAUUUUCGAAAAUACCUAGAGAAAGGUUUAGGAUUACAUAAAUUUCUUGUAGAUCUCUUAGAAGACAGAACCACAACUGUCGUGCCUUAAUGGAAUCACAUCCAAGCUAGCAAGAGGAUAAUAAGAGAGAGAAGAAAGGAGGAAAGAUUUCAUCCAACUCUUGGGCAGAGAAGGAGUGGCAAAAUCAAGGGGCUAGGAGGCUCCUUAUAUAGUUGAGGAAACUUGGUGCCAAAACUAGGGUUUAGCGGAUAAGCCUUAGAUUCCAUUAUUUGGUGACCAAGUAGCCCAAGCCCCUUGUCCAAGGGGCCUUGGGCAAAAUCUCAUAGGGUUUCCCUAGAGAUUUUCUUCCACCACUUCCAAGAGGUUCUAGAGUCAUUCUUUCUCAACUAUUAACAAAUAACAAAACAAUCCUUGUACUUUUAAUUAAUCAAAUUAAUCAAAAAAUUAAUUCCAAUUAAUUUCUGAUUAAUUAUUAAUUAAAUAAUAUGAUUUCUAAUUAAUAUAUUAUUUUCAUAAUAGAUUAAUAAACAAUUUAAUUUAUUAUUCACCUAAUAAAUUAAUUUAUCUCUUUAAAAUCAACUUGUCUAAUUGCUAGGUUUGAUGGGAACCCAAAAUGACUGUGCUACUAUCAAUUCAAGUAUAUACCAACUAUAGUUAUGGGUGUAGACACCUAAUCCAACAUUUGAUGAUCAAUGUUUUCAAUUAGUGUUAGGUAGCCUUCUAUGAUAUAAAUGUAAGUGGACCUUUUUUUUUUUUUUUUUUUUUUUUUAUGUAAGCUAUUAUAUGAUGUUAUCUAGAAGUAGAAAUAAAAUAAUUCUUUUUUUUUUGAUUGAUUUUGUUCUUUUUCUAAUUUGGUACAAAACAACGAAGAUGAAAGCUAUAUCGAAAAUCAACCAAAAAACGUAGUUGACGUCAUCCAUUUACUCUCGCAACCUAUAACUAUCAUUGGUAUGAAUAUAUAACUUACAAUGUAUCCUUUUUCCUUUAUCUCUCUAUAUUCGUUUCUUUGUAACUUGUGAGAUUUUUAUGGUUAAUUUAGGGGUUGUUUGCUUUUUCUAAAAAAAUCACUUCUGACCACUUUUUGUUGCACCGUACAACACACGCACGUUUGUUUUUCAAAAAACUUUUGACUUAAAAACUGUUGCGCGUGUGUUGCGUGGCGCAACAUUGGACCCUCCUCUUCAAACAUCUUCACACCUUAUUUAAGUUAUAUUAUUCAACAUAAUUUUGAAAUUUUUUCAACAAUUUAUUAUUUUAAUAAUAUUAUGAAGGAUAUUAUCAACAAUUCUAAUACAUUUUACAUAAUUUCAAAAUCGUUUGGUAAAUUUCAUAUAAAUAAUUUGUUUUGUAACAUUGUCUAUGACUAUAUACUAAUAAAUUAUAAAGUUAAUCAUUAAAAUUACCAAAUUUGUUGAAGCUAACCGGAAAAAUAAUCCUCGUCUUCGAAAAAUUAAAAAAAUAAACACGUUUUUUUUUUUUUUUUUUUUUUUUUUUUUUUUUUUUUUUUAUCUAAAUUAACAGUUUUAUUUAUUGUUAUUUAGCAAAUAUUAUGCUUAUUUAUUUUACAGAAACGUUACCAUAAUGAUAUAUGUAUUGAUUUGUAUAUAUAUGAUUAAACUAAAUAAUAUUUGAUUUAGAAUUAUUUUUAACUAUUAUAUGGUUAAUUUCGAUUUAUUGCAACAGCCUGCAGACGCUAAAAAAUAAAUAAACUUUUUAUUACAUGACACAGCCCUUUGAUCCACCUCUUCUGCUAUAUAGGGUUGCAGAGGUAGUCCACAGACUUCACGCAUUUUCACUUCGGAAAAACAAAUAACACCUUAGUUUUGAUCUUUAUAUAUUAUCGGAAAUUUUUUUUAUACUAUACCUGUCAAAAAUUUAUUGUUCCUCCAAUGUCACUAAUAAUACAUAGACUCUUCCUUUUCAAUAUAUUCUAUUUUUCUAAAAGGGGAACGUCGCUCCAAUAUAUUCAAUAUAUAAUUAAAGAAUUUUAAUAUACAAAAACUUGUAAUUUUAUGAAACAAAACUUAUUAUAUAGAUUAUAUAAUUGUAUUUUAAUAUACACCAAAAUAUAGACUAAAACUAUAUCCAAAUCUUUUUUGGUAGCAUGAUUAUGGUUUUCCUUGAUAAAAAUAUAUUAGUCAAACAUAGUAGACUUUACAAAAUUAUUCAUUAUAUAGACAUCUAAAAUAAUACCAAUCACAAUCUUUUACCACAACAUCUUUGACUGAACCUACAAACUCUUCGACACGUAUCAAUAAGUGGGAAGCACAUUCCUGUGUCACCACAACAACAAAAUUUUUUACCAUCUGUCGAUGUUGAACAAUGGUAAUCGCAAGGUGCUUUUGAGAUACCAACAACUUUAAUCUCAUUCAUUUCAAUUUUGCCACCUAUAAAUUCAAAAAGGAAAAACAUAUUAAAAUAUCCAUAAAAAAUAAUGAAAUAAUGUGUAAAAUAAAGAUAAAAAAAACCUUACAUUCAUGAAAAAUAGACAACAUUAGAAAGCUUACACACAAGAUGAUCAUAUAUCUUUCCAGAAGCUUGAUCAUCAUUUCGUUUUCUCUUAUAGUAAAUUAACUUGUUUAAAAUAGAAAGAGAUAUGAAGAUGAUUUAAUAGACAACAAAUGAGACCAAUCUUAUAUUUAUAUGAAUAUUUGGGCUGUUAAGUUAUUGUCUAAUUUAAAAUUUUUAUUAUAGCUAAUUAACUGAUUUAUAUAACUUCAUGGAAUAAGNNNNNNNNNNNNNNNNNNNNNNNNNNNNNNNNNNNNNNNNNNNNNNNNNNNNNNNNNNNNNNNNNNNNNNNNNNNNNNNNNNNNNNNNNNNNNNNNNNNNNNNNNNNNNNNNNNNNNNNNNNNNNNNNNNNNNNNNNNNNNNNNNNNNNNNNNNNNNNNNNNNNNNNNNNNNNNNNNNNNNNNNNNNNNNNNNNNNNNNNNNNNNNNNNNNNNNNNNNNNNNNNNNNNNNNNNNNNNNNNNNNNNNNNNNNNNNNNNNNNNNNNNNNNNNNNNNNNNNNNNNNNNNNNNNNNNNNNNNNNNNNNNNNNNNNNNNNNNNNNNNNNNNNNNNNNNNNNNNNNNNNNNNNNNNNNNNNNNNNNNNNNNNNNNNNNNNNNNNNNNNNNNNNNNNNNNNNNNNNNNNNNNNNNNNNNNNNNNNNNNNNNNNNNNNNNNNNNNNNNNNNNNNNNNNNNNNNNNNNNNNNNNNNNNNNNNNNNNNNNNNNNNNNNNNNNNNNNNNNNNNNNNNNNNNNNNNNNNNNNNNNNNNNNNNNNNNNNUAUAUAUAUAUAUAUAUAUAUAUAUAUGUUUCAAGUAUGUAACUAUAGAAUGAAAAUGUACAAUGAUGUGUAUUGGUAUACAACAUUCAUGCUAGAUACAUGGAAAUGUGGUAUUUUGUAUUUCUCUAUUCUUUAAAAAAUUAGUGUUUGACAAAACUAGCUGGUAGCUGGUAGUAGGUAGCUUGUAGUUUAUAGCUGGUAACAUUUGUUUAAACGCUACAUAAAGUAGCAUAUGGAUUUGGUGCAAUUUCUUUAAACUAAAUUCUAGAAACUUGUAGUGUUAGACGAGACUUUCUAUUCAAAGCGGAGCAUUUUGUUAAACGUUAGAAUCUUUCAAAAACUUCAAAAUCUUCUGUACCGAACACACCCUUAAUAGGAAAAAAUAUAUUAUAAUCUCUCUCAUCCAAAUAUACAAUCUAGAAACUUGUAAUGUUAAAAGAGACUUUCUAUUCAAAACGGAGCGCUUUGUUAAACGUUAGAAUCUCUCAAACACUUCCAAACGUUCUGUGCCGAACACGCCGUUAAUAGAAAAUAAAAUAUUACACUCUCUCUCGUCCAAAAUAUAUAGAUAUAUAAAUGUUUCAAGUAUGUAACUAUAGAUUGAAAACAUACAAUGACGUGUAUGUGUGUACAACAUACAUGCUAGAUACAUGGAAAUGUGGUAUUUGGUAGUUCUAUCUUUUUCUUCAAAGACUUAGUGUUCGACAAAACUACAUGGUAGUGGGUAGCGGGUAGCAGAUAGCUUGUAGUUUAUAGUUGGUAGCUUUUUGUUAAACGCUACGUGAAGUACCAUUUGGUUUUGGAGGAUUUUGUUUAAACUAAAUGCUAGAAACUAGUAGUGUCAAACAGAGUGUUUAUGUAAACGUUAGAAUCUCUCGAACACUUCUAAACUUUCUGUGUUGAACACGUCGUUAAUAGAAAAAAUAUUACACACUCUCUCUCUCUACUAAAUAUACAACGUAAAUUAACCAAAUUGAACAUUCUAUUAUAAAUAUUAUUAUUUAUAGCAAGGUACUGUUAUUUUUACGAUUAUGAAAAAUAUAUAGAAAUAUGAAAAUUUAUAUCAAUACGGGUCUUUAUUUGUACCGAUAAGAUAUGUCAAUGCAGGUCUAACUUAUUGAUGAACAUGGAUUAUCAAUUCAUAUUAAUUAAGUAUGCUUUUUUUUUUAAUUGGAUAUUGGAUGAGAAAUUAUGUGACAGUAGAUGAUAGAAUAUGCAAUGUUCACUACGUCAAACUUCCAUGUACCUAGGGCUCUUUAGUAUUUGGAUAAAACUAAAUUGUCCAAUUGGAUAAUUUGUAUUGGACUAUUUGAUGUGGAUAUUUGGACUUUUGAAUUAUUAUUCAACAAAACCGAAUUAUUAUUUUGGAUUUCAAUUUGGUCUUGAUUUGUAAAAUAAGAACCAAAUAGUCCAAAAAACAGAAUAAUAUUCCUUCUUAGUAGUUUUUUUUUUUCUUUCAAAAGUUUUUAUCUAUAAAAUAUUAAACUAUAAUAUUCCUUCUUAGUAGUUGUUUUUAAAUUUUAAAUCACAAUCAAAUAAUUUGUUUUUGCUUCUUGUGUAAAGUUGAGUAAUAUUAUAAUUUUAUUCCAUUUUAAAAUGUUUCGAUUUUUGACAACCGAAUUAUAGAAACGAUCAAACCGAAUUGUAAUUGGAUCGGAUCCGAUCAAAUUUGAAUUUAUUUUGGACUACUUAGAUAAAUGUUUUGAAAACCGAAAUCUAUUUGAAUUCACUUGAUUGGAUUAGAUCAAACCGAUUCAUCUAAACGAACACUCCUACACGUAGCUCAAUAACAAAUUUAGAUACAUAAAUAUUGAAGUAUGUACCCCAAUAACAAAUUUUGAUACAUAAAUAUUGAAGUAAAGACUAUACAUAGAAUGUAUUCGGGUUUAAAAAUUAUAGUAAAAAAUCAUUGCAAAUGAUGGUAUUUUAUAAACUAAAAUUAACAAAGAAUCUUGAUAGUUGAUUUUAAUCUCAAAUAAUUUGAAGAAAAAAAAUAGUUGCAUUAUUUUUUUAACGAAACAAUGUAUUUUAAAGUUUUUAUUGUUUCAUAUUUAAUUUUAGGCUUAUAAAACACUAUUUUGAUACUUCAAGUAUAUUUGUACAUUAUAAAGUACUUAAUACUUAAUAUAUUGGUAAUGGUAUAAUUAUAUCUUUAGAAUCCAUUUUUUAUACUAUGUGUAAUUUUAUUUUGUAUUAAUGAGUAAUUUUAUAUAAAUAAUUGAAAAAUAAAAAAGAAAAACCAUUAUACUUUUUAUAAUAUGUAACAGAAAGAAUAAAAAAUGGCGUUGAAGAGAUGAAAACCCCUGAAAACGUCUUUUACAAGUGAAUUUGACAUACAAAGUUUCCUUAAACACAUCAUUUUCAUGAUUUAUAAGAAAGUUUCACAUGAAAUUGAGUUAGUCAUCUGGAGUAUCCCACUAAACAUAUUUUCUCUAGCAUCAACUACAAUAAUUAAAUCUAAGUGUUAAACCUAGCAACAAUUUUCCUUUUUAAUUGGGAUUCAUAAUUAUAAAAUGGUAUAGAAAAUCCUUUAUUUGACUUGGGGAAUAUUUUAGAGAAAACACAAGUUACAUUUGAUAUAUAAUUUCUUUUGAGAAUCAUAUAUAAACCGAUUUUUAACUAUUAUUUUUUUGGGUGUAUCUCUUUCGAUCCAUAUAACUCCAUGGCUUUUCAUUACACUUCUCGCCACAUAACGAGGUCCUACCUUGCAUUUGUGGAACAUGAACACUUCAUAGUCAAGUAAGAUCUUCAAAAAUGAAACCCACUUUUCCACCAAGUGACCUAGCUAAUUCUGUCACAUCUACCACCGCUCUGCCACGGCCACCUCAUUCUCUACCAACCACCAUAAUCCUAAAUGAUUAAUCACUUUGUGAACGUGCAUAUAUGUAUAAUCAUUUAUAAGUAGGUAUAUAUGUAUAAACAAGAAUAGUCAUAUAUGAUUAUAAAUCUGCAUCUUAUAAUCAUUUAUGAUUAGGCAUAUCCCGUCGCCCCGGUAUGCUCGAACGUUAGAGCAGAAAAUGAGAAAUAUGUAGGUGAAGUUGAAUCUCAAGAUCUUUAUUUUGUUUUCAGAUUCUCAAUGAAACCAUCAUCGUUCCCAACCUUAUCACGUUCUCACUAUAACAUCUCUCUCUCUCUCUCUCUAUAUAUAUAUAUAUAUAUA
This 64654-nucleotide long non-coding RNA is filed under the name Lactuca sativa (garden lettuce). RNAcentral describes it as "long non-coding RNA (LSAT_LNC002807)". Lineage: Eukaryota; Viridiplantae; Streptophyta; Magnoliopsida; Asterales; Asteraceae. The record is from RNAcentral.